Molecule: long non-coding RNA, 55848 nt
Filed under: Arabidopsis thaliana (thale cress)
Lineage: Eukaryota; Viridiplantae; Streptophyta; Magnoliopsida; Brassicales; Brassicaceae
Description: long non-coding RNA (ATHA_LNC000689)
Source: RNAcentral
GCAAUGGCAGAUUGGGACCUACCACUGGAGGUAUGGGUAGCCCUGAAAUCGGAGGAAGGGGUAGCUUAGGGACGGUCACUGGAGGAACGGGUAGCUUAGGUACAGUUACCGGGGGAACGGGUAGCUUAGGGACUGUCACUGGAGGAACGGGUAGCUUGGGGACGGUCACUGGAGGAACGGGUAGCUUGGGGACGGUCACAGGAGGAACGGGUAGCUUAGGUACAGUCACUGGUGGAACGGGUAGCUUAGGGAUGGUCACAGGAGGAACGGGUAGCUUAGGGACGGUCACCGGAGGGACUGGUAGCUUAGGGACGGUCACCGGAGGAACUGGUAGCUUAGGGACGGUCACCGGAGGAACUGGUAGCUUAGGGGCUUUAGGGGAGUGCUUUCCGCCCUUCCGUGGGUUGCAAGAGCCGCAUGCGAGAGAAUGUUGGGGGAGAUAGAUAAUGCAAAUGAGGAAGAGGCAAAGAGAGAGAGAUGAGAGUUUGGAGGAGUCCAUGUUGAGUAGAGUGGAUGGUGUAACUAUACGAAAGAGUAUAUGAAUAUAUAGAGGGAAAAUGAGAAGAAGAAUUCACGUGAAGAUGGGGGCUACUUCUGCAAUAAGAAGAGACGCCCCAAAAUAAGCAUGGUUGGCAAUUAUCAUAAGAAUACAAGAUUUCCUUGAUGACCCAUCGCUAUAUAUCAUCACAUGUCGACCACACUUUUUUCACUUUUUUUUUUCUAAGUGCCUCUUGUUCUUGGGUUAACUACAACUUUUAACAACGUGUAACUUCAGUUUCAACAGUACAGUACAUUUAACUUGUAGGAAUUGUAAUGAAUCAACUUAGCGAGACUAGGUCAUUAUGAGAUAUCAUCAAUACUAAAUAACAUUUUGAUGAUGUAAACACUCUAGGAAAAGCAGAUAAUAUAGUAUCAUAUGGUUUUCGCUUUAGUGUGUGGCUUCAUAAGCAUCUCCAUGCAUGAGUCGACUGCUAAGGAACAUAUAGAUCUGCACCAUAGUGAAGACGGCUUAGUCUAUUCAAAACACUAAUGUUGUGCCUUUCGAGGACCUCCCGAGACUCGAAUUCGAAUGCACUCUCCAAAGGUAUUAUGUUAGGGAAAAAACCUUAUUAAACCAAAUAUGUUACUGUUUAACCCAUACACGAAAAUUAGAUAUAUAAAUGUUGAACAAAUAGCAUAUAGUUAUAUCCAAUAUAUACGUACAUGAGAGGUAAAGAAGACAGCAAGACUGACAUGUGAAAUUCGGGAUACACUUUUGUUGUUUGGUGAUUUUGUUACGUAGUGUCAUUAAAGAAACGAUCAUGUGUGCGUGGACCAUCUUCUUCUUUUUACCGCUCAUUUCCCUUUUUACCAUAUCUACUACAAAAGAGUCCGAACUGACCAUUUAAUGAACGAGUACCAUUCAAUUCAUAAACUCCCCGUAUCAAUCUAACUGACACUGUAAAAGUUAUAAUGUUAAUAUAUAAAAAUAAUAUGGUUAUUUAGCAUGAAUAAUAACUUUUUAUAAUUGAGAGUAUGUCUAGCUAACAUUGGUGAUUGGUGCUUACAUAAAUCAUAUUUUUCAAACCACUUAACAAGAACUUUACAUAUUCAAUGAUAAACGAAUCACAUUUAUACAAUAUACCAUUCAAAAAUAAUAUUGUAAGAUGAUUUGAAAUUAAACGAUUGUAAUAUAUAAUGUGUUAAAAGUAAUGUAUUAUAGAUAUCUUGUAAUUAUUUAAAGGGUUUUGUGCAAAAAAAAAAACCACUAACUCAUACAUUUUUCCAAUUUACUAUCCAGCUCUAAUAAAUGCACAUUAAUCCUAUGAAUCUAAAAUAAUACGCAUUGUAACCCUUUUUGACCAUUUUUUGCUACCAUCAAUUUUGUAAAAUAUUGAUAUAUAAUAUGUUAAAUCAAAGCUCUCGCGACCAAGAGUUCAACUCUACCUUUAAAAAUUUUAAAAUGUAAUGUAUGUAACCGUAAAAACGCUUGUAAUAUGCAUAUGAAAUUUAUAUUACAUAUUAUGUUAAACUUCAUAAGAUUAAUCUGCAUUUGUUGGUAGUGCAUUUGUUAGAGGUGGAAGGUAAUGUUGCAAAAAUAGAUGAGUUAAAAGAUUUCUUUUUGCACAAAACCCUUUAUUUAAACUACUAACAAUAUAAUAUAUAAAUAAUUUAAAACAUAUAUCUCUAUAAUUCAUGAAGUAAUAAUGGUGUACCCUAUCCUUACCAACGAAUAAUAAAGAAAUGAUAUUAACUCUGAUUCAAAAGCUAUAUAUAAGAUAUUCUUUUUUUUUCCUCGGGAGGGAUACGAAUCCGGUAACAUGAAUCAGUGUCCAAUAAGAGCCAGUGGUCGUAAAUUCCAAAUGACAGAUGGAUGACUCAUUUUAAUUCGUAACUUUUGUCAGCUGCGAUAUAUGCUAAUGAAACCUGAGGUGCUAGAUUUUGAUUUUAAUGGCUUUAGAUUCUUACUCAACACUCAAUGGCCCACUCGUUAAUCUCUUACCUUCUAAAGUGAGUUAUGAUCCACUGCUUCUUUCUUCUUGUAGAUAGAUGGACCUGUUUUUUUUAGGUUGUGAUUUGUGGACAUUAAUCAACAACCCAUGUUUAUACGUGAUAAUGUCUGGAGCUAUAUGUAAAGGCGAUAUGGAGGACAACAUUCCUCUAUUCUAACUUUAAAAGCCAUGUAGUUAGGGCUGGACACCAAUAUUCUUUUUUUUUUUGCUAAAUUGUAAAUAUCAUUUUGAUGAAAAAUCAGGUUUUACAACAGUUGUAUAACCUAAAACAUUUGAACUCUUUGGCAAAAAAGAAUAAAAAAACGAAGAGCCAAUCGAGAGCUGCAUAGAACUCGGUAGUUUCAUAGCAGCCACAACGCUAUUAACUUGCGAAAAAGGAGUCUGUUUCUUCUUGAGGUGAUAACGUUUUUGAUUUUGCGGUUGAUGCACUUGAAUAUAGAAUGCGGAGAGAGGGAAGUAGCGUUGUGCAGGACAUUGUUAGGCUGCUUCAAGAUGUGGAAGACCUUAGACUGAACGACAAUAAUUUUAAGAACUGAUGAAGCCAAUAUUCAUCAUUUUCAAACAAAAAAUAUCUUUUGUUUGACACCAAUAUCCUUGACCAGCUUCAAACAAAGGAUAUACAUCAUUUUUAAGUCGGGUAAGGCAAAUGAGUAUAAGGAUUCUCAUUACACAUCUGGUUGCCAAAAACUUUUAGUCAAAUACUAGUUACAAUCUCAGUUUUUUACCCCAAACUUUUUGCCACUUAAAAAACUAGGGGUGGGCAUUCGGGUAAGCGGGUCGGGUUCGGGUUCGGGUAAAACCCGAUCAGGUAUAAAGAAGUUUAGGAUCUAAUAGGGUAAAUCUAAAAUAUCGGUUCGGUUUCGAUUCGGGUCCAACCGGGUUCGGAUAUAGAUUUGUGGCCUUUUUUUAUCCAGAUUUUUCGGGUAAAAUUUUGGAUUUCGGAUAAAAUUUAGAUUUUUGAAUAAAAUAUUUGGGUAUUUUCGGGUUCGAGUUUGUUUUUUCGGGUAGAGAAAUUUAGGAUCCAGUAAAGUACAUCUUCGGAUUUGGAUUAAGUUUCAGCUCUAAUUUUUCGAGUUAGUUUCGGUUCGGAUAAUCGGUUCUGGUUUUUUGGCCCGGCUCUAUAGAAAACCAUCAAUAAAUAUUUUAAUCCUAUUUCUGCCUCAUUACUCGAGAAAAUAUUCGACCCGUUUUAUUACUUGAUAAAUUUACAACUAUAUAUUUAUGUAAUCUAUUUCAUAUUAGUAAAAUAUAUUAAAUUUGUUAUUAAAACCAAAUAUCUUUUGAGAUUAGGGCAAUCAAAAGUUAAGGUCAAGCAAAUGUCUCCUUUCUAAAUGUUUUUGUGGGUAACGGUAAAGGACAAAUAUACAGCCCAUGCCCAGACCUACAAGUAGCGACUCCAUUACUACACAGUAAGAUUUUUAUUAAUAAAAAUGUGCAUGGUUUCAUUUAAAAGUCAUUGCUAACACUUCACUUUACAGUAAUAUUCAAUUUCAUACCUUUAAACGUUAAUCAGAAUCGCCAAUUGGAAGCCAGUCACUGGAAUCACCUUCCGAAUCCUUGCUAUGUCCAACUUGGCUCUUGCUGAGCUGAACCCAGCUUGACCCGCUUGCGUUUGAUGCUGGUCUUUUCAGUGUACUCCUGUUGGGACUUGGCUUCUCCGAGAGAUCAUCGACAUCUAAAUCACUAAAGGAGAUUACCUCUUCAUCUCUGAAACUCCUCCGUUGUUCUUCAGAUGACUCAUCACUUAUCUCCCUUUGCUCAAUUUUUAGAGUCUCUAUCUUGUCAAUGACUCCCUCAACGGUUUCUGUUUCCCUACUGCUACCUUCUUCAGGAGUUUCGUGACCAGUAGUGCUCUUGCUUGACCCUGUCUCUUUCUUUUGCAGCUUUAGUAAAAGUUGAUCCCUUGUUUCAAAUACCUGUGCCGCACAAUAUAGUUAUUAAAGUUUCAGAAAUAGGUACAAUAGUAACUUGGGAAAAAAUGCAGAGCAUAAAAGAUAUAAAACAAUCCAAUUUUAAAAGCAUCAGGCAAAAAUACAUUUUUUCCUGAGGCUAUACUUGUUCUUAUUGCAAUCGGUUGAAGGGGUCAUUAUAGCAUAAACGUUUACGAUUUUAAUAAUAUUGGAUCAAUACUGACAUUUCAGAAGAAUGUAUUUCCAGUAUACAGUCUUACCUUGCAUGUUGCUAAGAGUUCAAAAUCAUGCCCAUUCAGUCUCGGCAUCAGCAAAAUAAAAUAAAUCAGCCAGAAGUGUUCAUCAUCCAUGUAACUACUAACUUGAUUCUUCACAGCUACAAGGCCAGGAACCAAAUCUUCAAUGGCUGAUGCAUGUGCCCUUUGAGCCUCAGACAGUUCAAAUUCUGCAAUGUGGACAUGAAAAGUUGGAGAAAAACUUCAGCAUAAUUCAGUAGGUAAAAUUGAUGUAAACCACCAAUGCUUUUUAUCAGGAAGUGUUUCGACAACAUUUUCAAGCAAACCAAGCCUAUAUACAAAAGGUUGUACAGGAUGACGAUAUGCUUCGCAAUAAAAUAAAUAAAAAGAUUUAAGUGGCAUAUGGAUUGAACUAUAUAUAUAUAUAUAUAUAUAUAUAUAUAUCCCAAGAAGAGACUGCAGACCCCGUCAAGUUUAUUCGUAAUUCCUGGAGAUCUAUCUAAAGAACAGGGACUUCAAAAAAAAAAAUUAACUGCAGAAACAAUCAAUCUUGUCCAAACAGGUCUAGAAUAAAACACAUCAAGAGUUAAAGACUGAAGCAUAAUCAUCUUUGGCGACUGAAAACAAGUCAACUAUAUUUCCAAGAACAAUCAUGUUUAUUCCUGCAUGGCUGCAAGUUCGUCGACAAUAUCUUCAAGGUAUGAAAAAUGUGAUCUACAGAGAGUAAUGGGACCCCGAGAUCCUAAAGACCUGAGCUUGAAGAAAUAUAUCCCAAGAGGAGAUGGCAGGACCGGUCUAACCUAAUCUAAAAUACUAGGAAAUCUCUCUAAAGAACACCAGAGGCUACAAGCAAUCAACUGUACAAACAAAAAAAAUAUUUUCCUAAUAAAUCACAGUAAGAAAAUCAUAACUAAACAUAGAUAGUUAGAAACCACCAAUGCGGUGCUUCGACUAUACUUUCAAACUAACAAAGCCUAUAUACUGGGAACAAAAAUAUGCUUGAAGAAAUAUGUCCAAAUAAGCUUAAUCUGUAACCCUAGUGAUCCCACUAGAAAGCCAAUCAACUGUAGAAGCAAUCAAUCUUUUCCAAAUAAAACCUAUUUUAGUAACAAUUAUGUUUGCCUACUGGGAAAAAAAAAAGUCAAUGCAGAGCUUAAGACUAUUGAGAAUCAAGCUUUAUGAUUCCUCUAUUGACUAUACAGGAGCAUUACCAGUAUCGAGUGACAAUGGAAAAUCUGUCCAACAACCAGGUUUCGUCGAGAUUUUAACAGCGAAAUCGACUACUUCUUCAGAGAUUCCAGGAACUUGAUCGUUCAACGGAGAUCUUCUACUACUUUCUCUAUCUCUUAGAUUACUAGGAAAUUGGAGUAAAUUAGAUGCGAAAUUGGAGAAAUUUCCACGAAUCUCGGCUAGAUCGUUGCGGAUCCCGAGAAGACCUAGCUGAGUUGGUGAAUUAUCAGAGGAGAGUCGGCGUUCGUUUACAGGUGGAGAAGGAGGCGGUGCCAGGAAAGCUGCGACGCCACGGAGUAAGGAAGAUAAAUCUUCUUUGACACCGCCAUGAGUUGUGGAAGGAUCGGGAUCGGGAUCGUGAUCGUCAUCGCCGCGAGAUUUGAAGAGCCAAGACAUGGUUUUUGAGUGAGAGAGGUUGGAUUUGGGGUUUUCAGUUUUUUUUGCACGGGGUUACGAAUAGCAAGAGAGAAGAAACGGUACGUUUUAAUACCUUUCCAAAACGCACCGUUUGUUGUUUGUUCGUUUUGAUACCUUCCCAAACGUGAAAUAAACGAACAAUAAUUAUACAAAAUAAACGGAAACAAAACCUACUUUUUAAAACGGGAAAAUAUCGUUUUAUACGUGAUGUUUUUAAGAAUGGUCAUUUUAUAUGUAAACUUUUAGAUCGAUCAAAUAAAAUAUGAUAAAAAUGUUGAUCCGCUAUUUAAACAAAACAUAAAGUUUGCCUGGCCAAAAUUUCCGAAAUGUUAACUUGUAUUAACGGAUCUGAUAACCCUCGUUAGCAGACGUUAGUCGUCUUCCGUUAAUACCAAACGAUUUUUUGUGAUGAGUACAAACCUUAAAAUUCCCAAAUCGAUUUUUCAUUCCCUAAUUCUUCAUAAUCCCCAAAAUUUGAACUAUUCUCGAUAUAUUUUUUUUGAGCUCAAAAUCUCCAUUUUGUGUAGAUAUGAGUUUAAAAAAUUUGAGUGUUCAAGAAGGAGGAAGUGGGAACCUUGGGUUUCCUUCAAAGUGUCAUUGGGGGAGAGAUUUCAUCAUCUAUAUAUCAAGCUCGACGAAGAACCCAAGAAGAUCCUUCUUCUGUUGUCCAACAUAUCAAGAUGUAAGUAGAUUUGAAUUUGUUUUUUUUGGUGUUUGAUCGGUAAAAAGUUGUCGUUGUAAAUGCAGGACCAUUUGUUUAAGUGAGUCGAAGAUUGUGUGUAUGAAGAGGUUGUAGAUGCAAUACUGAUAAUCUCUAUGAUUGAUAGCUAGAUAAACAAUGUCAAAUUUCAGGUUGUAGUCGAGAUUGCAGAAUUAAAGGUUUUGAUCCAAGAAUUGAAGGAAGAUGAAAUGUGGAGCAAAAUGGAAUUGAAGAUAUGGAAAUCGAUGACCAAAUUGUGCUUGGUGUGCCUUUGUAUAACAGUCAUUGCAAUUAUGAUCAUAAUGUUCUAUAAGACCAAAAACCAUAAGCUUGUUCUUGGUUACUAGUGUUUUGUGUUUGUAAUAAAAUGUUUUUAUGGUACUGAAAUGUUUGUUUGGCAAUGAUAAUCAGUCCUAGUGUUUUGUCUUAGUGUUGUGAUUGUAAUGAAAUGCUACUAGAUGCUUGUUUAACAAUGAGAAUCACCAAAAUGAAACUCAUUCAUACAUUAUAAAACUUGUGUCACAAAGACAAGUCGAAACCACAAAAUGAAAUCGAUACUAAGCUUAUGUCAUAAAGACAAAUCCAUUAUGUCAACCACCAAAAAUAAACUUAUGAGAAAGCUUAAGUUCAAACAACAACAAAAAGAAACUUGUGACUAAUCUUGUCUUGAACACUCAAACCAUGAUGCAAAUCCACCAAGUCCUUGUGGUUGAGCAUGUGGCUCAGUUUGUGCUUGUGCUUGUGGUUCUGUUUGGGAUUGUACUUGUGAUGCUCCACCUGUCUCCCUUGGUCUUUCUGAUGUUCCGCCUGUUGCCCUUGGUCCUUGUGAUCGAAUAUGAGAUUGUGAUCCUUGAUGAGGUUGUGAUCCGUGUAUUUGCUCUUGCGAUUCGAGCACUUGAGAUCGUGAUCCUUAAUGAGAUUGUGAACUUUGAUGAGGUUGUGAUCUUAGCACUUGUGAUUCCUCCUAAGUUAAAUAUGACAGUCUGAACAGUUGCAUGAUUAAGUGAGUUGUAAAACAUAUAAAAAAAAACAAGAAUACAAACCUGAUUUAUUCGUGGAUGACCUCUUGGUCUCUUUGGUGGAAUCAGAAUAGUGGCAUUUUUGCAGCUUUGCUUGUUUGCCCUUGUUGAAGGCAGUUAGAGCAUGUCAUGAUUCUCUUUUGCAGUGGCAUCUUGUUCUUAUUUGAAGAAGAAGAAGUCUCAUUUCUUCCUUUUCUCCUAACAUAAUUACUCGGUCUUCCAACAUUUCCUUUUGUCCAUGGUGGUGGCAAAACAGGGAGCCUAUUGGUUUUAGGCCACAAUGGCAUACCUUGGACAAGGCUAAUACCAUCUUUAUAAGUUUUUCGCCAGAUUACCUUUGUGUAAAACUUGCUCACAUAGUCUGCAACUGUUUCUCUUCUUCCUAUUAUCACAGGUGUCGCAUAAAUACAUGGGAUCCCCACCAUCUACCACUUCCUGCGACCACAAGUUCUCUUCUCCGUAUCAACAUAGUAGCUAACACCAUUCACAUCAAUUUGAUACAAAUUGUUUCUGGACAUAUAUCUCUCGCAAUUUCUAACCCCAACUAUCAUUUUCUCAAUCUCAAGAUGGGCUCUCUUUGUGAACCUUGUCUUCAAUUUGUCAGCAAUGAUAUACGUCUUCGUAGUUAUGACCAUGCAUUACCUCUGGAUGUACUCUAGCUAAUCCAACAAAGGCUUUCUCCUAGCCUGUUUAAUAGUCUUAUUAAAAGACUCACACUGAUUAUUGAGGCUGUCAUUGCAACGUGUCCAAUUCUAAAGAAGGCUCUCGACCAUGUCAUUGGACUAGUAAGUUGCGAGUGGCAUGCGCAUGAGGAUUGUAUCUCUUUAGCUCUUCCAUAUUAUUCAUGAACACUUCUUCAGUGUAGCUUCAAAUUGUUUUUCAAAGAGACAUUGUAGUUCUAUCUCAUGGUUGUCUCUCUUCCAAUUGUCCAUUAUAUGCCUUGAAUAUUGUCGAUGCUCAACUUCUGGAAGUAUGGUAUUGAUAGCUUUGACUAGACCCUGUAAAAUAACACAAAAACAUAAGCGUAAACCCUUCAUAAAAGACAUUAAACUGAAGCAAAAGAUGAUAAAAUUAACUGAUUAUUUAUCUGAAAUGAUAACUAGAUGUUGCAUUUCACAGUCCCAAACUAGUAGAGAGCUGUCUCAAAAACCAGUCCCAAUUAUCAUUGUUUUCUAUCUCAACAACUGCCCAAGCUAUAGGAACAAUCCUCUUAUCUCCAUCUCUUCCAACUACAGCUAAAAGGUGACCUUUUACAUCCCAUUUUAGAAAACCCAUCUAUUCCUAUCACAGGUCUACAAGUUCGCUUCCAAGAAUCCUUUUGAGAUUUAAAGCAGAUAUAGCACCAGAGAAAAGAAUCCUUUUGUGAUAUAAAGCAGCUAUAGCAUCAGAGAAACCUUUGCUUGCUUCCAAUAAAAAGCCCUACUGUUGUCUCUAUCUCAAACUCUGUCUCUGGGUUCUACUUUAAAACCUCCGCUUGAUAAUCUCAUAUUCUUGAAAAGUGAUCAUUAUGAGUAGCAUGUCAUGCUUUCAACACUUUGGUCUUGGCCUUUGCACAUUGGUCUGGAGUCACAUCCAAAUUGAAUUCUCUCUGAAUCUCAACAACCAUCUCGUUCUUUGAAAUAUUUGGAUUCACUCUCAGCCUUUCAUCAAACAAAAGUGCAAUGGAAGACCGCUUCAACAUCUUUGAAUAUCCUGACCUAACACAAGUAUGCAUAUAAAAUCUUACUUGCAUCUUAUGUUUUGUCUUCUCAUACGAACAAUAUACUUUCCAACCACAUUUAACACCAUCAACACCAAUUUAUGACCACUUCGCAGCAACAACCAUAGAUUCAGACCCAUAAAGAGAAAUGGUAUACCAUGUCUUUAAAGAGUACAUCAAAAGAACACGCUUGAAGUCGUGUUUAUAUCCUCUUCACCGCGUAAACCACCAUUAUAAUCGUUAUCUCCACCACCAACCACAUCAUCAACGACAUUGCAGUCUUCAUCACCAUACACGGCGCAGUCUUCUUCAUUUUUCAGGGUCAGGCUCAAAUGUAGGUUCUUCAUCCUCCUCUUUUUAAUGUCUGACUCUUCUUCGUUUUUGUUUUCAAAGCCGCUUUGAAACUCGAGCUUUAACUACGAUAGAAGACUCUACUACGCCUACAGCCGGCAGAGCUAGAACUCCGUUAUCAAACUCUAAAACUGCUUCCGCUGGUGGAGCUCGAACAACAUCUUUGGUGUCAUCUUCGCCUCGUGGUGGAGCUUCAUCAUUGUCUAAUUUGCCUUCCAUUGAUACAAUCUAGGACUCCAAGGAUACAAAUUCAAGAUGAAAUCAAAUCAAAAUCGCGAUUUCGCCAAAGUAAGAAUUAGGGAUUUGGUUUUUGGAAAUUAGGGAUUUUGAAAUCAAAAUGGGAAUUUCUGUUUCAGUUUAUGAAACGACAUUGUUUUAGGCAUUAACAGAAAAAAUUAACGUCUGCUUACAGGGGUUAUCGGAUCUGUUAAUGCAAGUUAACGUCUCGGGGAUUUUGGUCAGGUCAACUUUAUGUUUUGUGUUAAAUGGCGGGUCAACGUCUUUAUCAUGUUUUAUUUGGCCGACCUAAAAGUUCACGUAUAAAAUGGCCACUUUUGAAAGUUCACGUAUAAAACGACAUUUUUCCCUUUUCAAAAACCUAAUUUAUUUCGCAUAAUUAUUGUUCGUUUUGAAAAGUAGGUUUUGAUUUAAUAUUAAAUUUAUUCGGGGAAAAAGAAUUAUACAUUUACAAGUAGGAAAAAUGGGUAAAAAAAACCUCACCUUUCCCAAAUACAUUUAAAAAAACCUCAACUUUUUGUAGGUUUUUAAACCCUCACCUUUUCAAAAAUGGUAAAAUAACAAUUAGCAUUAUUAAACCAAAUAAAUACAAAUUAAAUACUAAAUAAACUAUUAUAUUAAGACAUAAAAAACAACAUAAUUUAUAAUCUAUCUUUUCCAAAUUUGAGUUUAGGAUUUUUUUUCUUCUAGAAUUUAGUUGUUUUUUGUGAUAUAAAAAAUAAGUUUCAUUGCCAUUAGAAAUUGGUAUGUAAACUAAAACAAUUUAUAACAUAGCACAUUUUAUUUUAUUUGUGUUCAACUAUGUUCUAACCUUUGAAGUUUUGGAUUUAAAAUGGAUAAAAUUUAUUAACACAAAUUUGAUCUAAACUUGAGUGACCUAAUAUUUGUUCUAAACUUGUGUGAUCAAAACUUUAUUCUAAACUUAAGUGUCCAAACCAAAUAAAAUUUUAUUAAAUAUAUUUUAUAUUUAGUUAUUACAAAAUUAGUUUAGUUUUACGUUGAUGAAUUUCUUGAACUCAACCAAAUUAAUCUUGUUUCAGUUCACUGCAUAUGUAGAAGAAUAUAUAUCUAUAUAUAUAUACAUAUAUCAUACCUAAAAUAAAAUAAUUAUUUUUAUCCAAAAUUUAAUUAAACUUACACUCGAAACAAAAUAAAUAAACUUUGAAUAGACUUUGGAUAUGUUAUCUUCAGUAUGAAACCAAUUGUCUGAACCAAAUUUAAAUUGUUUUCACAUAAAACAUUUUACUAGAAGAAAAUAUUUAAGAGCUAUGUCUUUGGUUAGAUUAGAAUCGACAUAUUUCGUUUUCAAGAUUGUUUAGUGGUAGUUUGUUGUUUUGCGUCAAGUUUUUUUUAAUGUUUUCUUUUCCUAUUUUUGUCGGGUUCAUCUCUUGCUUUUGGACCGGUCAAUCUAUAACUUUUCACCUUUAUAAUAAUAGGUAAAGCGGUUGUGUGACUCUUUCAUUUUCCUCUACUCAAGUUUAAGACUAAAUCUGGUCAAAUUUUUAUUAGACUAGUUAUGAUGGUUUGUUAUAAACCAUUUCACAACUGUUGAAAAAAUUAUUUCCACUACAAUGGUUUAUUGUAAUCGAAAAGUAAGUGAGAUGGCAAAUUUAUCAACACUCAUGAGAGUAGAAGAAAGAAGAUAAGUGUGACAAGUGUUAUAUUUUGAUUGGUUGCUUUUUUUUUUUGGACAAAAGCUUGUUUUUAUUCAAUUAAGAGAGAAACAAGUACAAAGGAACAAGGAUUCUAAGAUCCCAAAGUUUAAAGGACAACAAAGGUAGGCAUUCCCAACACCAUAAGAAGAAAAGCUAACACACAAAUAAGGUACAUCAACAAUGGUUCCAUGAGAGCUAUAAUCCAAACACUUGAAGGGAAUUUGUUACUUUUAAGAUCAAGGAUUGUUGACAAAUCUUCCACGAACAAAGUAGUGGAUGAGAGUAUGGUUACUGUCAAAAGACUUAGUAACGUUAACAAGGGCGCCAAAGACAUGAAUCUCGUCGGGACGAGAAGUACUACACCAAGUAGUGCUUUUGCAAAGGUUCGAACAAGGUUUUGGUAAAGGAAGGAGGAUCGUCGAGGCUUAGAAAGAUUGAUGCGAGACCGUAACAGAACAGGUGGGUCCUCUCUCCCAAGAAGACCAAGGAGAUUAAGGAAUUCCACACAAAGCUUGUAGUCGGUUUGCCACAUGAAGAAAAGGCCAGACAUGAGGAAAUUGAGUAGAUAUCACUUUGAGGCACUAGUCAAUAGGGAGGGAUCUCUCACAAGAGAAUUGAGAAGUUCAUGUUGAAGCUUGAUCCAAACCCGGGGAGUAAUGGUGAAUGGGAGGUUCUUGAAGUUGGUCGAUAUAGUUGUCAGUAUGAAAUACUUUGAUAGAGAGUUUUGGUGACUAGCGUCACAUCUCCGACAGAUUGGACUAAGAAACACUAGACCAUGAAUCUUCAAAACGGAAUCAUAAAACAUUGCCCUAGCUAAACCUAGCACCAAGGUUCUCAGAUAAUAUUUGUAGGAGCAUAUCAACGAGGGUGAUUCGUCAUUCAAGUGGUGUCCCUAACCCCUCAAAAUAAAGAAACGAUGUCUACAUUGGGAUAGACUCGGCAAAUUGCAGAUGGAGGAAUACCUGGAUUUUUGUGAUAAUAGGUUUGGGUCGCAAUUUAUGGGCUUGGGCCGCGAGGGAAAUGGGCCAACAUUGGAGACAGGGCCCAUCAAAGAAAACCCUCGAUUCCAGAUUGUUGGGCAAGGAGCGUUGGGAGUGCGGCGGCUACGGUAGAGAGGUACGAAUUGCACAAUUGAAGCAGACGUCUCUGAUGUAAAUAGAGUUAGGGUGAACAAGCUGCAUGACGGGUCCGGCGCUGAGGCUAUAACAACGGCUAAUGGUUUGGCAAAAGAACGUCGGAGAAGCCUUAGGGAGCCGAAAGGUCCCGCAGAUCUAGUAACGAUGAGGAGGCGGAGACAAGGCUCAGGUUGGAAGGAUUGGUCGCCUAUGAAAUUGAAAGCUUCACAAACUGUUUUCUUUGAUUCGCAAGGUUUGGACAGAGAGUGUAGCUUGCUCGGAGGCCACAUUUUGCCUAUGUCGGAGAAUACUGCUUCAAAGAAGAUUCAACAGCAAAGAAGAACUCGAUAGAUUUGGAUUAAAAGGUUUGCAACAGAAGAAAACUAAAUUACAACGAAGAAGUAGAUGAAAGAUUGAGGAAAUAGCUCGAGAGAUGAGAGGGAGGUUCCGAUGCCGGCGAGCAUUUGCUCCACCGACGUCGGAAAGAUGAAGGGAGAUAGUUUCCUCGAUAUUAGUGUCUAUUAGCUCCACCGACGUUGAAAAGAUGAAGGGAGAUAGUUUCCUCGAUAUUAGUGUCUGGGAGAGAAACUCUUUAAAAUCUUAGUCUCGCAAAAAAUUUGAUUGGUUGCUUUGAUUUCUAUAUUUUUUUUCUUAAUUACAUAACUUUAAUUAUUUCAUAAUAUUUAUAAAUAAACAUAUCAAAAUUUACAAUUUUUCAUUCUCUAUAAAUAAACACUAUCUUCAUUUGAUUUGGACAAAACAAAAAUAAUCUUUCUUUAGAAAAAAAAAAGUUUAGUCUCCAAUAAACUUUUGUUUUAGCUUUAAAUAUACUUUUAUCUAAAUGGAUCCAAACAAUAACCUUUCAACACCCAAAACUUUUCUAAUUACUUUUAAACUAUCCAAAUCCCAACAAUUAUUAGUUGCAGGUGUGUCAGAAGGACAUUGAACGAGCAUUUGGAGUGUUGCAGGCUCUAUUUAAAAUUAUUCGCGAACCAGCUCGACUGUGGGACAUAGCCGAUUUGACUAUCAUCAUGAGGUCGUGUAUCAUAUUGCAUAAUAUGAUUGUUGAUGAUGAACGACAGACGUAUACUCAACAUUGGACUGAUUAUGAUCAAUCUAAGGCAAGUGGGCCGAGUACAUAACAACCAUUCUCGACCAAAGUGCUACUUGUAUUUGCAAAUCAUCUGCGUGGUAGAUCCAAGUUGCGUGAUUCAAAUGUACACCGCAAAUUGCAAGCAAAUCUAGUCAAACAUAUAUGGGCACAAUUUGGAAUUUUCCAUGGUGAAUGAGAUUUUUAAGUUUGUGAGUUGAGAUUAAUAUACUAAUUAAGUUACAAAUGUUUCCUUACUUGUUGUGUGCGUAUUGUAUUGCAUUUUAAAUCUAUGUUCAUUGUAUGUGUUUUAGUAAUGAUUAUUUUUAUUUCUAGUUUUUAUUAUUUAUAAAGUUUUUUUAAAAAAUAUAUACAAAUAUUAAAACAAAAACUAUUUUAUAAAAUUUAUUUAAUAUUUAAUUAUUUAAAUUUAAUUUAAUAUUAACGGUGAUUAAUAAUAUUUAAUCACAAAAAACAUAAACAUAAAUAAAAUGAAAAAUAUAAAAUAAAAAUUGUGGGAUAAGGUGUUGUAAUUUUAUCAAACAAAACUAUUGUAGAGGGAAAAAAUUAUGUAGGUGUGGAAUAACGAUGUGGAAGAGAGAGAAAACGAUGUGAAGUGUUAAAAGGGAAAAAAAGGGUGUUGUAAAUGGGUAACCAUUGUAGAUAGUCUUAGGAAGUGAAUGGUGACUUUAAGAUUUGCAGAUUUCGAAAGAAAAAGAAAAAAAUGCACUAAUGUCACCAAUCAGACAUAUGUGUGUAAUUUGUUUUUUUUUACAGAUAAUUUGGCACACACAUUUCAAAGCAUGUUAAUACACUAGGGAUAAAAGAAACACACUCUACUAUCGUCCAAGGGAUAUUUGGCAGCGCUUAACUAAAAACUUGCAUUACACAGUAAGUAAUAAAUCAAUUAUUUAAUUAAUAAUAAAAUGUACCUAUAAAUCAGAUCAUGUACUCUAAAACUAUUCACACAUUACAACCAAAAACAACAUCCUCUCAUAUUUCGCUCCAAUCCAAAAGAAAAAAAAAACAAUCUCCCACCCUUUCGUCAUAUAUUACAACAUUUAAAUGUAAAUUACUUUUACUAUACUAGUAUAAUAAUUACUUAUAACAAAAUAUUUCUAUGUAAUUAAGGUCUCUUUAUAAAUAAAUAGGACUGAAAUUAAGUAUAUAAAAUUGUUCAAAAUUUAGUAAAUCAUAAAAUGUUAUAUUUAUGUACAUAUUUAUAUGACUAUGUUUUAUUUUUAUAUUCAUAACAUCAGUAUUAAAUUUUAAUCAAAUCAUAGAAAUUUUUAAAUAUGUAUAAUAAAUGGUUGUGAUAGUAUUUACUAAUCAAGAUGUAUAUAUAUUUAUUAAAAAGAGAAAGGAAAAUUUUGAAGAUAUACAAAAUUACUAUUUUUUUAAAUUAUAGUUUAGUAUAUUUAUAUUAGAUGGUAAUAUGAUAUUAUGAAUUUUUUCAAAACUUAAUUAAAUCAAUUAAUUUAAUCAUAUCAAAAGUUACUUAAAUCAAUUCAUUUCCAUCAUUAUUAAAUUUUAAACAAAUCAUAGAAAAUUAAAAUAUGAAAAGAAAUGGUUGUGAUAGUACAAUAAAGUGAUUCCGAGUUCCCUUUGCCUCCGUCGGAGAAGUAUUAUCUAGUUGAUUAUGACUACCCAAACAAAUAAGGAUUUCUAGUUCCUUAUAGAUCGUCAGGAAAUCGAGUUGUGAGAUAUCAUAUGUCUCAAUUUUAUUUUGGUCCUCCUCCUAGAAACAAACAUGAACUAUUUAAUAUGUCAUGCAUCUUUACGUUCUGUUAUCGAGAGAACUUUUAGAGUUUCGGAAAAGAAAUGGAGGAAUCUUUUUCAUUUUCCUAGAUAUAAUAUUCAUAUUCAAAAAAGAGUGGUAAUGGUUAUAGUGUGAUUACAUAAUUUUAUCAGAAUUUCAAACUUCUCAGAUGUAGAUUUUCUUGAUGUAAUGACAGAGACAAAUAUAAACUACAGAGAUUAUGAUCAUCAUUUAGAUGACAUAGAAGCAACAGAGAUAACAAAUGGAGAACAUAUGAUGCCAAUAAAAGACAAUAUUGCAAAUAUGUUAUGGCAAAAUCAAAAUAAUAUAAAAUAUUUUUUAAUGUUUUUUAUGAUGAAAUUAGUUAAGGCAUGUAACAAUAUGUAUGUUACAAAAUUAAAUUUAUAUUUUGAUCAAUUUUUGUAUUAGUGGUUUAUAAAUAUCUGUUAUUGUUUAUUUAUUAACACAAAAAAUUAAUUAAUUAUUAAUAUAUAUAUAUAUAUAUAUAUAAUUUAUAAUUCGCACCGCAUGUAGUUUUUUCACCAAUCAAACAUUAUUUUGUACCGCUUAUUUUGAAUAAACCGUACUUAUCCCGCAAAUAUAUUUCUCCUACACGAACCGCAGUUUAACCGUACUACACUUCAAUAACGCUUUCCCCGCACUAUAAAAACCACGGUUACCAUUCGGACCCUUAGAGCUUGUUUAAAAAAUUGCUAGGCGUUAACCGGGCAUUCGGGGACUUAUCGAUAUUAGUUUUUAACAUUUUAAUAUUGAUAUAUACAUAUAAAUUAAAUAUCGGAAUAUAUGACAAUGGAAUUAAUUUGGUUGAGUGUCAUCUUUUUUUAUUUGGAAAUUGCACAAUCUAUACUCUGAGGAGUCGUUAUUUAGGUUCCCAAAAAAGCAACUGUUUGGCUGGUACUGUGGAUGUGGAAAUUGCGCAUGUAUGAAAAUAUAUUGUGUGAGACGGCUUCAUUAAAAUCUUAUUAGAUUAUUAUUGUUCUUCGCAUGUGGUUUUUGUUUUCUAUAUGUUUUUUAUUUAUUGAUUUAUGGGGAAACCAAUCAUCAUCAUCAUUUCCCUUCCAAUACGGAGAGCUUGGCAAUGCGAAAGAUUUGGAUGGCAAAUGUUUGGUAUAAAUUUUUCGACCCGUUAAUAUUAUAAUCUUGAUAUUAUUUUUGUUAACGUCAUUAAUCUUUUGCAGACGUAUGUGGAGCCUAUCAUUUUCCCUGACGUGGAGAUGAACCCGAAAGAAGAUUUAACCUGGUCUGACGAUGAGGAAGAUGUGAUGGGUUGAUAAUAUCGUCAUGUUAGUUGGUAAAGGGAUUACUUUUCAGCUCCCUCCAUUCUGAUUUGCCAACUCCUACAAAUGCUAAGGUUAGUUAACUGAUAUUUAUUUUAUAAUCGUUGUGUUUAGUAGUUUAGCAACUAAGUAUUAUAUGUGAGUAGCUAUAUUUUUUCUUUAUUUUUGUAGCUUUUUUGCCUCUGUUUCAGAGUUUUCAAUUAUCUCCAAGAUGUUGCAGGUAAACAAAUCUGUUGAGGUCCUUGAUCAUCGAGAUGAAGAACCGGUUUAUUUAUUUACACUCCAUUUUUGUUUAACUUUACUGUACAUUUUUGUUAACCCCCUCCAUAUUUUAUUAGCCGGUAAGAUUGUUAUCAUUCAUUUUCUUUUUAAUUAUUUUAUUCUGUCUUGCAGACCAAAAUCAAUCCUUCAAAAUUAACCACUACAGUCGAGGAAGAAAAGGAUUCUAAGGAGGUUAGAUAAUUCUUCCUUGUUUUUAACUUUCAUUUGGUUAAAUCCUUAACCGGUGAUAUAUUGCAUGUUUCAAUUUUAGGAUUUUACCACUCCACCCCUGUCAACCCAGUCUCGCUCUAACGUGAAGGUUAUCUUCUAACUAUGAUGUUAUCGCUUAUUGUUUAUAUUCAUCUUCCACGUUUGUAGGAUGUGGUGUGCCCUGCAAGUGUGUAUGCGGAUUAGCUGUUAAAAAAAAUAUUUCCAAGACGCAAGAAAAUUCGGGCUGCCCCUUCUUCCGCUGUGUAAGCAAAAGAGACGUGAGUUAUUUCCUCUCUAAAAACGAUGUUAUUAGCUUUUCUGGUAGCUACACGUUUUGCUAGUUAACCUAUCAUUCUUUUUGUAGGGACAUUUGUUUAAGUGGGUUGAGGAUGUUGUAUAUGAAGAAGUGGAAGAUGCAUUGGUUAGACUUGUAUCGAUUUAAAAUGAGGUAAAUGAUUAAAAGCGCAGGUCAUCCAGUUUUGUGUUGCUAUAAAAGAGUUGAAGGCAGAUUCAGUGUCCGACCAGUUGGUGAUGCUUAUGUUGAAAGUGGGCUUGCUUUUCAGAUUUGUCUUCUCUCUUUUUGUAGCUUUUGUUAUCGCAACACUUCUUAAAAUAGUCGAUAUUAAGUUCAUUAGUAGUUUUUAAUGUCUAUCUUUGUAAUGUUUCAUAGUUUCUAUAAUUCCCUAUGUUUAAGAUAUUAUAUUUGUUAGUCGUUAACCAUGUAAUAUAUACCUUGUAUCAAUCUUCUGUCUAUAUAAUAUUUUAUAACUUCUCAUUUAUUUCUUUAUUUUUGUACCAUUUGCACAUUCUUUAGGCGAUAUUUAUAACCAUUUUAAAACUUAUCUUUUAUUUUAAUUUUUUGGUAGCAUUUUCACAUUUAUUAAGCGAUAAUCUAAUUCUUAGCCAUCCAGCUGUGGUCCUAUCUUCUUAUUUUAGGACGCUAGUUAUCUUUUUUCUUAGUAUUGCAAAUUUUAAGAAGAGGGUCUAUAUCUUGGUACAUAUUUUGUUACAGAAUAUCAUUCAACAUAAACAUAUAUUUAACAUUCAGAAGGAAGGUUUGUUGGGAUCGUCCCUGAUUGCAGAUAAUACACAUUUUUUGGAUCAGUAAUUGUACGUAUAUACAUUGAAAAUUUUCUGAUCUCCGAAUUCUUGUUAUUUAUAAAACAUGACUUCUCGCGAGUCUUCUAAGCACGGAACCAUCCGUUCAAACCCUCCCAUAGUCCAAAAAAACAGUCCUCUCCUUCCAUCUUCAUCCGCAAAAAAAAAAUUUUCCUCGUCGCUUACUUGCCUCCAUGUACCACAUUAAUUUUUUGAUUAGCAGUCAUUUUUCUUUUUAAUCAGAUAACACCUACUUUAUCGACACUAGUUUCUUCAUACACCAUGGUAAAAGUUUUGUUAUCGGCUGCUUUUUCAAAAAAUGAUAAGGAGCUAUAUAUAUAGAUAGCAAACCAAAGAAAGUUGCCCUAACUACACACCUGAGACUUAAAUGCUCUAUGUUUCUAUCUUCUUUCAAUAUUUAUCGUUUGCAGUGGUUUAUAUGUUAGUUGUUUCAGUUCUUGUUGUUGCAGUAAUGUCGAUAUGGAGAUAAUAAAUAGGCAAACAUCUAUCUUCCAUAUCUGCACAAUCGAUUAUGUAUCAUAUGUAAUCAUUACUUUUUACAUUUUUUUAUUAGUUUGACCAGGGGGCGCAAUAUCUUCGAAGAUUACAGAGCAUUUAAUGCUCGUGAUCUUGCGGAAGGAGACUAGUGAUCCUCUGCUUGUAUAGGAACAAUUAUGUCAUAUUUAAUUUGCAAGAAAAUUUUCACCUAAAUAACGAAAUGAUAUGUAUAGAUCCUUAAUUAUUUUCUCCUGUAGGUAUAUAUAUUUCAUUCACUCUUUUUAGUUUAAUGAAAUAGUAAAUGACAAUAUUAUCCUCAUCUUAUUCUUUAGAUCUUAGCGACUGCAACCCUAAUUUUUGUCGUAUCGUUUUUCACAAUUCUUAUCAUUUUUUCUUACCCUUUAAUGAUUUAUACCCAAAUAUAAUAGAUCUACAACCUAAAGACCGAUUUAAAACUUGUAUUUCUUUUUAAAAAAUGAGUUUUUCUAAGAGUUUUCAAUUUUUUUUGGCGAUUUCAACAAAUCGAGGCGGUGGUGGUCUGAAGAGCGCUUAGUUGGACGAGUAAUCGGUUAGACGACCAAUUUUUAGAACAAGGGUCUUGACAAUCCACAAUGCAAGUGUUGAAUUAUUUAUUCAAUUGUUGAACCUUCACAUUGCACAUGUUGAAUAGUUUAAAAAAUCUUACGUGGAUUCAACUUGGUUGAAAGUAUUCAAUAUGUUAUAAAGAAAAAAUUUGGGCCCGCGCAUGCCACAUGUCAAUAAAUGAGUAAAGGAUGUGUUUCAAACUCGGAGAAAGGAGAGCGUAUUGUCCAAACCUUUUUCUUUUUACUUUUAUUUUUUUUUGCAAAAAGAAGAGAUUAUUGAGAUGCUCACACUUGCUAUAUUUUCAUUAGAUAUUAAGAUUUUGGAGAUUUUAUUUCUAUCUUAUUUAUUUACAAUCAAUUAUUACAUACCAAACAAUUUUUUUUUAAAAACUUAUAUUUAUAUGAAAAUUUAUAAAUUUUUAAACUCUAGAAAUAGAGACUUAGUUCAUUUUAUUUGGACACAUAAAAAAUAUUAUUUCUACCAUAAUUUUCUUAUUCUUCUCCCAUAAACUCUUGGUUAUAUCCUUUUUUUUUAUGGAUUCUAAUAAAAUCCCUAUGCAAAAUUAUACUAAUUUUUCCUUUCCCUAUCCUAAUUCCAACAAUAAUCCUACGCAAAAUUCGACUAAUUACGUUUUUCCUUAUCAAAAUCCCAACAAUUAUCAAUUUCAAAAUCUAUCUUUCAACCAACCUCAAAAUUUCCCAAAUUAUGAUUUUCUACCAAAUUUUUCUAUGCUCUCAUCUGUUCCAAACUAUAAUUCAUAUUAUAGAUCGAUUCCAAAUUCAUCUCAACCACCUCUUUAUGAUUUGAGGUUGUGAUUUUCAUUGACAUCAAAAAGAAAAAAAAAAAAAAUAUCACAGAAAGGAGACAAUGAAUAUGAUUAAUAUUUAAUUGGUAAACUAUUAGAUUAGGCGGGGGUUUUCUCAAAAAUUGUCUCUUUUGUAGGACUGUUGUCACCAAUAUUUUCAGUAUCUUUUACUUUUAUUAAUUUUUAAUAAAAUUUAUGAUAAUAAAAAAAAUGAAAAUAAUCGUAAAUAAAAGAAAAAAAGAGAGUUGUGGGUUCUUUCUUUUUAGUUACCCACGCAUCGCUGUCGAAAGAUUAAUUAUGAAAUCAGAUGUUUGGUUGAGUAUAAUAGUAAUGCAUGUCAUUAGUUUAAAUUUAUAAUAUUAAACAAAAUUAUAAAUAAGAUAUUUGAACAAAACAAAAUUAAGUUAGUUUAAACGUUAAUUGGAAACCAAAUAAGAGAUCUGUUAGGAAAAAAGAAAAUAUAUACCAAAUAAGAGAUACAGGAAAUCAGAAAUUUUAAUAUUAUGUGUUUGAAUCUUCUCACCAAAAAAAAUUAUGUGUUUGAAUCUUCUCACCAAAAAAAAUUAUGUGUUUGAAUCUAAUUGAUUAAUGGACACGGUCUAGUAAAUUAUAAUUUUUUUGACCCGCGAAAUAUAGUGAAACAGAGUUUAUCUCUAUACAACAAGACAAAAAAGAAGUUCUAAGAUCAAACUCUGUUUGAUAUACAAAAAUUAUAUUGUAAAUGAAAAUGGAACUUUGAGAUUGAUCUACAACAAGUCUGCUACACUCAUCACAAACGUAAUGUGAUUAUACACAUCCACGUUGGCCGCAAAAACUAAGGAUCUUGUAUCAUCUGGAUCAACAGACAAAAUCAUAUUGCAAUAGUCAGCAGCAUCACGUGCGAGACUAAGGUCGUCAUCAGUCUCAUCAACAUCACCAUUGCCCAUUGACCGCUGUGCCUUCAUUAGCCCCUCGACAACAGAAUCUUUAUAGUUCUCCAUACAACUCUUGAAACAUGGCUUCUUAGGAGAACCAAUGAGAAACUGUGUGUGCUCUGCCUUCUCCAUGGCUAGAGAAAGAGCCGCCUUAGCCAACUCUAAUACAGUCGAUGCGGAUUUCGUGCGAUGAUCUAACGUUAGGGAUUUGAUACAUUCUUCUUCUAGGGACGAGAAUGACGCGGUGCCUUUACAAGCCUUUGAUAUCAGUAAUGAUGGAUAUGGACAUGUCUUUGGUUUGGUUGAUAAAUGGGUAGCAAUGUUGGAUUUUGCAUUGGUAUAUGGCCACCGCGAGAGGAGAAGGAAGGUUAGGAUAUGGAUUGAUAGGUAUGCAUGAGAAGCAUAUAAACAAACCAUCGUUUUAUAUGUUCAACAAAGCUUGUUCUUUGACUAUAGGUUUAAAUGAAAUAGUAGAUUGAAGUUUGUACAUAUAUUAACUUUUGUUGUGUCAAUGGUUUAAAUUGUCCAUUGUUUAGUUCCACAAGUUUUAAACAUGAUAUGUUAUUUAUAGGUUUGGAAUGAACGAUAGAGGAAAAAUAAACUUGUCAACGCUAAUAAUAAAAGAGUGUAUCGAAAAAGAGAGAAAAAAACAAAAAUUCAUUGUGAUUCUUUUGUUAUUUUGUUUUUCAAUGAUUCAAUUCAAUGUCUUAAUUUCUCUCCUAACAUAAAAGUUAGUUAUGGGCAUUCGGUUAUCCAGUUUCGGUUCGUUUCCAUUCCGUUAUCGUUCUUUCGGUUCUAGAGUUUAGUAUCCAUUCAGUUAUUUUGAUAUUUCGGUUCGUUUCAGUUCUUACAGUUCUAAAAUUUAAUAUACAUUCGGUUAUUUUGCUUUGAGUAUUUUUGGAUAUUUCUGUUAUUUUUAUAUUUUUGAGUAUUUUUACUAUUUAUAUAUACUUUUUAGUAUUUUUAAUUAUUUAGUCUAGAAAUGACUAGUAUUUUUGAAAAUAUAAUUAUAUUUCGGAUACUUUUGGUUAUCCAAAAUAUUUCAGUUUGUAUCCACUCGAUUUCGGUUCUUUUGGUUAUAGAAUUUUAAUAUCCGUUAGGUUAUUUUCAAAUUUUCGGUUUUGCUCCGUUUUUUUACAUCGGUUGCGGUUCGGUACAUUAGGUUCGUUUUAUAUGCCCAAGCCUAAUAAAAAUCAUGUUCAUUUUGGUAUUUAUAGCUUUAGUAGACACAUGUUUAGUAAAACAAAUUCUCAAACAAGAAGAUUUAUGGAAUACCUUGUAAGACUACUUAGACUAGUUACAAUGGUUUGGUGGUGAAAAAAACAUUUCCACUACGAUGGUGUGCUGUAAUCAAAGCUAGGUGAUGUGGCAAAUUUAGUAUUGAUAAAUAUCAAUACCCGUGAAAGUAGAACAGAGAAGAUAAGUGUGACAAGUGUUAUAUUUUGAUUGGUUGCUUUGAUUUUUAUUUUUUUUGUUUCAUCUCAACUAUAUAACUUCAAUUAUUUUAUAAUAUUUGUACAUAAAAAUAUCAAAAUUUAUAUCAAAAUUUCUAAUUUUACAUUCUCUAUAAAUAGAGACUAUUUUCAUUUGAUUUGGAUACAGAAAAAAAAACUAUUUUUAGACCCAAAAAAGGUAUAAUCGCCAAAAAAAAAACUUUUGUUUUACCUUUAAAUAUCUUUUUAUCUAAGUGGAUCCAAACAAUAACCCUUUCAACACCCAAAACUCUUCUAAUUACCCUUUUAACUAUGCAAAUCCCAACAAUUAUCAGUUUCAAAAUCAAUCUCCUAACCAACCCCAACAAUUAUCAGUUUCAAAAUCAAUCUCCUAACCAACCCCAACAUAUAUCAAAUUAUGGUUAUCCACUAAAUUUCUUCAUGCCGUAAGCUGUUCCAAACUAUCGUCCAUUUCAUGGAUCGAUGAUGUCUUAUCCAUCUUAAACACCUCCUUAUUUUCCUACUCCAACAGGUAAUGAAACUGAUUCGAAUCUUGGAGCAACUGAUUUUCCCGAGUUUUCUACCCAAAUGGCUCUUGGUGGUAUUAGGGUAUUCAUGAAGCCAUUCCAGAUGCAAAGGAUUCAACUCCUUCUCGUCGGAGAAGUCCCAAAUGGACCACUGAUCAAAAUUUGGUUCUCCUGAGUGGGUGGAUUAAAUUUGGAAGAGACAGUAUUAUUGGCAAAAACUAAAAAUGUGAGUCAACUGGGGUAAAAUUGCUGAAUAUUGUAAUGAACAUUGCUCAUUUGAUCCUCCCCGUGAUGGAGAAGCAUUCAGAAAUCACUAUAAUUAUGUGAACAAAAGCGUGAACAAAUGGGCUGGCGCUUAUGAUAACGCUAAAUGUAUGCAACAAAGCGGGUGGUUGGAGGAUGAUGUAUUGGUAAAAGCGCAUGAAUUAUAUUCAAGUGCUGGUAAAAGAAGUUUCAAAUAGGAGGAAAUACUUAUUCUGGAAGCAGUGGAUCUAAAAGAGCCCACGAGAGUGAUGCUAGUGACUCAAACUCUGUAGGAUCUAGUGCUCGUCCAAUGGAAAGAGAUGCUGCUAAGAAAAAGCUAAAAAAAAAGGUAAAGGCGCAGCGUUGAAAGUGGUCAACGAAGAGUCGAACGAAUUUUAACAAUUCAAGGCACAAGAGUUGGAUAGGUUGGAGAAAAUAACUAUGAUGCACAGUGAAACAAACCAAUUGAUUAAGGAAAAGACUCAUGCUAAAAAGAUGAAGAUGUUUAUAGAGCUAACUGAAAAAGAGAAUCUCGAUGACAAGAGCAAAAAGCUAUUGCAACAAUUGAGCCACGAUCUAUUUGGAAAUUAAUUAUUGUCAAGUGGUUAUCUGUAUUUUGUCACUUCAUGCUUUAACGUGUGUUUGUCACUUUCUCCUUUAAUAAUUUGUAUUGUCAUGUUAUGCUUUAAUAAUGUGUGUUUGUCACUUUCUCCGUAAUUUGUAUUGUCUUCUAUGCUUUUUUUUUUUGUGCGAAAUAUUGUCUUAUAUGCUUUAUUAAUAUUAUCCAUGAUUUUAAAUAGAGAAUCUUAUCUUAUCCAUGACUUUUGGUUUGAAGCACUCAAUUCGAAUCCAAGGCACCAACAAUUUAAUUCGUUGUUUCCAUUUUUUUUAUAAAUUAGAACUCAUUCUUCCAUUGAUGUACAAACCAUAAAUCUUACCUUACUAAAAAUCUCAAUGGAUCCAUCAGAAUAUCCUUUUGACAUCAAAGCUUACAAGAGGCAGUCUGAAAUUGAAGAGAUGUAUAUCAUCAAUCGGUUUAGGGAGCGUCGAAACAAAAUAGGGGAAGACUAUCCACCUCGUAGCAAGAGAAAAUACUUUAAAAGAGACCAUGCAUCAGCAAAAUUAAAGAAUAUUGACGACUACUUUGCCAAUGAACCUAUAUAUGACGAUGCAAUGUUUCGUCGGUGAUUCCGGAUGAGAAAACAUAUUUUCUUUCGGAUCGUUGAAGACUUAUCAAACAGCGACAACUAUUUCACCCAACGAUAUGACGCAGCCAAGAAAGAAGGUAUAUCUCCAUUACCAAAAUAUACUACGACCAUGCGAAUGUUUGCAUAUGGUGUGGCAGCUGACGCGGUGGAUGAAUACAGUAAAAUUGGAGGUACUACUACUUUAGAGUGCUUGCGAAGAUUCUGUAAAGGAAUCAUAAAGCUGUAUGAGACAGAGUAUCUCAGAGCCCCAACUCAAGAUGACCUCCAAAGAAUUUUACGUGUUAGUGAGAUGCGAGGGUUUCCCGGGAUUAUUGGGAGUAUUAAUUGCAUGCAGUGGGAAUGGAAAACUUGUCCUACAGUGUGGGAAGGUCAAUUUACUCGAGGAGAUAAGGGAACCACCACUGUUAUUUCUGAAGCAGUUGCAUCUCAUGAUCUAUGGAUCUGGCAUGUUUUUUUGGAUGUCCGGGCACACUAAACGAUAUAAAUAUCCGUUCACCGGUGUUCGAUGAUGUUGAACAAGGAAAUACUACAAGAGUGAAUUUUUUUGUGAGCCAACAUCCGUAUAAUAUCGCUUACUAUCUAGCUGAUGGUAUUUAUCCUUCUUAUCCUACUUUCGUCAAAUCGAUUAGGCUACCUCAAAGUGAACCAGACAAGUUAUUUGUACAACGUCAAGAGGCGUGUCAUAAGGACAUCGAACGUGCAUUUGGAGUGCUGCAAGCUCGAUUUAAAAUCAUUCGUAAACCAGCUGGCCUGUGGGACAUAUUCGAGUUGGCUAUCAUCAUGAGAUCGUGUAUCAUAUUGCAUAAUAUGAUUGUUGAGGAUGAACGAGAGACAUAUGCUCAACACUGGACGGAUUAUGAUCAAUUUGAGGCAAGUGGGUCGAGUACACAACAACCAUUCUCGACCCAAGUGCUACUCCUAUUUGCAAAUCAUGUGCGUGAUAGAUCCAAAUUGCGUGAUUCAAAUGUACAUCACGAAUUGCAAGCAUAUCUAGUCAAACACAUAUGGGCACAAUUUAGAAUGUUCUUGUUGUCUGCUUAUUGUAUUUUUGUAUUUUAAAUUUGUGUUCAUUGUAUGUGUUUUAGUAAUAAUAAUUUUUUCUUCUCGUUUUAAUUAUUUGUAAAAGUUUUUAAAAAUAUUAUAUAAAAUAAAAACAAAUAUAAACACAACAAUACUUUAUAAAACUAUUUAAUGUUUAAUUCUUUUAAAUUUAAUUUGAUAUUAACGAUGGUUAAUAAUAUGUAAUCACAAAAAACAUAAACAUAAAUAAAAUGAAAAAUAUGGAAUAAAAAUGGUGGGGUAAGAUGUUGUAAUUUUACUAAACAAAAACUAUUGUAAAGAUAAAAAUUGGGUAGGUGUUGAAUAAUGAUGUGGAAGAAAGAGAAGAUGAUGUGGAGUGUUAAAAGUAAAAAAGUGGGUGUUGUAAAUGAGUAACCAUUGUGGAUAGUCUAAGGAUAAAAAUUGUAUAGGUGUUGAAUAAUGAUGUGGAAGAAAGAGGAGAUGAUGUGGAGUGUUAAAAGUAAAAAAGUGGGUGUUGUAAAUUAGUAACCAUUGUGGAUAGUCUUACAAUGGACACGUUGAAAAAAAUAUUUGAAUAUGGUGCAAUGGUUGUUUUAAUAAAUGUUGUAGAGGAUGUGGCAAAUUUGGUGAGUAGGGAAAAAUAUCGUUUAAUAUUCCAACUUUCAAAUUAUGGCCAUUUUAUACCUCAACUUUAUAUGUGACCAUUUUAAAUAUGAAGAUAUCGUUGACCAACCGUUUAAACCAUAAACAUUAGUUGACCAGGCUAAAAAAACUAACCGUUAUCACUCGUUAACAGAUUAUCUAACGUCCGUUAACAUCUCCAUUAGCUACCCCUAAACGACGUCGUUUUCAUAUUUUAAAAAUAAAUAACGAACGUAGGAUUCAAACUUGUAACCUAGAGAAAAACUAGAGACUUACUUAACACCCUCACCAACAGUAUUUUAUUGGUGAACUUUGAGAAACAUAUAUUUAUUAAAGUUUUCUCCUUCAACUUUAACCUACAAAACAAAACCAUCUCCAUAGCCGCCGCCUCCAAAUCCGUGUUCUCUCUCCAUUGAUUUUUUUAAUCUUAAUCAUAUAUUGUUUUUUGUUGAUUGAAAAAAAUUUGUAUUUGCUAAUUCAAUUCAUCUGGAACCUAUUUCUAUGAACACCAUUGAUGGAUUAGUCAAUUGAUAUGAAAUCAGUUACACAAACAGCACUAGUUCUUCGUCGUCUCACAUGCACCUUCGUUGUCUCACGUACACCUUGUGUAUAUGAUCUGUGAUUGCUCUUAAGCGGAUCUGAUGUAUUUAACGGCAUAAUAUAUAAUUAUGUGUUUCCGAAUAAUAAUUAUUAAACACUUUAUCUUAGUUGGUGUGGACAAGCAUAGGGAGCACUCGAAAGUUACGGGUUCGAAUCUUGAGUAAGUUAUUUCUUUUUAAAAUAUAAAAAUGACGUCGUUUAAGGGUAGCUAAUAGAUGUUAACGGACGUUAGAUAAUCUGUUAACGACUGAUAACAGAUAGUUUAUUUGGCCUGGUUAACGAAUGUUUAUGGUUUAAACGGUUGGUUAACGAUAUCUUCAUGUUUAAAAUGGCCACAUAUAAAAUUGUGGUAUAAAAUGGCCAUAAUUUGAAAGUUGGAGUAUUAAACGACAUUUUUCCUGUUGUAAUUUGUCAACACCGUGAAUUUUACUGGGUGGGGUUAUCUUUGUCUUGUGUUGUGUUUUCAUUGGUCACUAAAAUUUGACUUUUUCGUCCAAUAAUUUUUGAACUCAAUUAAAUUAUAAUAAACUUUUUUUUUUGUCAUCUGAUAAUUUAUUAAAGAAAAAAAUAAUAAAGUACAUAGUUAGAUCCAAAAGCCAAGUAGAACAGAAAGAGAAACAAAAUAAAAGAGAAACAACGAGAGAUACAAAAUGAAAUUUAAACUUUACUCUCCUCAAACACUUGAUUGUGAAACCAUGAAGGCUCUCCAAGUGCUAUGUAAGACUGAAACCUUCUUUCUUGAAUCACACUUCGAGAAAUGGAUCGCGCGAUCAGAUUUGCGUUUGUGGCAAUAUGACGGAAUGUACAAGAUUCAAAUGCACCAGCAAUCUCAUGGAUUUGUGCUAACCAAUUCCUGUAGAAAGGCCAUUUGGACGGCUGCAAAACGGCGUUAACUGCGGCUGGAUAUUCCAACUCUAUUAUCACCUUGGAGACGUGAAUAUCUUGAAAUGCUUUCAACGACCGUAGAAUGCAGCACAGCUCAGCCCCUGUUCGAUCUUGAAUUGGCGUAAACGCAUCUCGUGCAUGGUGUUUAGCUUGCCCUAUAUCUCUUACAAUUCAAGCUCCUCCACACAUCGAUUGUUUAUUUAUCCAAAAAGAAUUCAAAAUGCAUUUAAGAAUACCUUCUUGGGGUUUCCUCCAUUUGUUUCCAUCCAAAUUGGAGGUGAUUGCCGAGAGAAUACUGUUGAAGGCUACGUGUUCACCAUUUUCCAAUGCAUUGUGUCUUCAUACGCUUUUUGAACUAAAACAUGAAAAUUCCAUACCUUUACUUUGAAAACGGUAUGAUUACGAUUCUUCCAAAUUGCCCAUAGAACCCAUGGAAUUGAUAGUCGAGUUUGCUUUGGUAUGUGCUUGUCUUCGAUAACAUUCAAUAGAUGAGAGAAGUUUGCUAGUAAGGUUGUUGAAGAAAAACCUUGAUCCGAAGCUUGCACAAAAUGCUGAGAUUAAUAUGCUUAAAAGGAGAAUAUGGAAUCUAAAAUCUGAGCCACAAAUCAAGCUUUUCUGUUGGCGUGCUCUUUCUGGUGCUUUGGCUGUGGCAGAACGUUUAAGCUCACAGGGAAUACAACAUGACACAAAGUGCCAAAUUUGUGGUAUAGCUACAAAAACAAUAUGUCAUACUCUAUUCUCUUGUGACGUAUAGAAUAAGAAAAUGAUGAAUUUUGGUGUAAAUUAUUUAUGUAUCUAAUAGUAGUUAUUAAAAAAACCAUUGUAGUAUAUGAAAGUAAACUGAAUGUUGAAUGAUGAUGUGUAAGAGAGAGAAGAUGAUGUGUAGGUUGUUGUAAUUUUAAACCAAUGUAAAUAGUCUAAUAAAAAAAUAUUUGGGUUCACCCCACUCUUGUUCACCCUCUCUUAAUAAGCCAAUCAAAAUACAACAAAAUGCCAUGUCGUUUAAUAUUUAACAAUUAAAAUAUUUGGGUUCACCUCUAGGGUGGUUAAAGUUUAGAUUUUAUAAAUAAUUGAAAAUAUAUUUUGGUUGAGUUUAUAAAAUAGUGGUUAGAGUUUAAAUUUUAUAAAUAAACAAAAUUAUAUUUCGGUUUGGAUUGAUAAAAUAGUGGUUAGGUUUAGAUUUUGUAAUUAAACGAAAUUAUAUUUCGGUUUGGGUUGAUAAAAUAGUGAUUAGGUGUUAGAUUUUGUGAUUAAACUAAAUUAUAUUUUGGUUUUGGUUGAUAAAAUAGUGGUUAAAGUUUAGAUUUUGUGAUUAAACGAAAUUAUAUUUUAGUUUGGGCUGAUAAAAUAGUGGCUAGACUUUAGAUUUUGUAAUUUAAUUAAUUUAUUUUUUCAAUAUAUGAUAUGUCAAAUUCUAAUUGGUCAUUAAAAAAUGGUGAACCCAAGAAUUGUUCUUGUAAUAAUUAAACUUCUUAGAACAACAAAAAUUUACAAUAAAUUUAUAAAAGGAACAAUUAAAAAAAAAAAAAGGAGCAAAAAGCAUGAUAAAAGCUGAGAGAGGAAACUUAAAAAGCACACUUGUUUCCAAAACUAAAUAGGGUCAGUCCCAAAAUUGGAUUUGUAUAGUAACAAAUGAAUAACGGAAAAGAGAGUUUCAAGAUCUACGAACAACAGCAGUAGCGAAAUAAGGAUGAUGGGUGAACUCAAACGAUACCUUAAGCGAACGGUCUUGACAGAAAAGGUUCACAGCAACAAUAUUGCGUUCCGCGACUUUCUCUAAUCCCGUGACUUCAGCCAGCUUAUCAGGAUCGUUGGCGUAACCGACCUUUAUGUCCUUAGCGAUCUUUUGAGCAUCGUGAAAGUACUCAUACAUAGGAAGAUACUGCAGCAAAAGUAAAUAGAUACAACUUUACUUGCAUGUUCAAAACUCUUUCUAAUCGAACAUAGUAGAUUUAUACGUGUACACAUUCAUCACUAAAACAUUGUAAACAUUACCUAUGUUAUUAUUUGCUCAAUGAAGAUUGGGAUCUCAAUUUUCAUGUGUUUAUAUUUAUUAAUCAAGUUAUUGCUUUUAAGCAAAUAGUUAACUAAUAAAUCCUACAUAGAUAUAUUUUAAAUAAACUGUGAAUCCUAAAUUUUUCCGUAUUUUCCGAAUUACCUGAACCGAACUCAAGAUUUUGCGAUUUAUGGUAUUAAAGCAGAUAGUGAUUGUAGGUACCCGGACUACCUUUACAGUACUCGAUUCCCUAUCACCCAACCAAUUUUUUUAAGUGUAUGCUUCGGGUAGUAGAUUUAGAUAUACCUGAAAUAACCAUAUCCAACCCUUACCAGCUAUUACCUGACUCUAUACCCUAAAUGCACAUGCCUACUUCUACAAUUCAUUUGACCAAGUAAACAGGAUUAAGCACAAAAACAAAGUUGAAUAAAGCACACUUACGUCGAGACGAGCAUGGGAUGUGGAUUUUGAGAACGAUUCAUAUGCGUCAUAUUCUGGAAGGGAUGCCUUCUGAAGGAGUUCAAAAUGCUGUAUAAAUUUCUGCAUGUCAAGGAAAAUGGGUAGUUGAAGUCAUACACAGGAAGGGAUAAAACCACUCACCCAUUACUAAGGCUGAGGAUUUUUAUCUUACACAUUAAUUCAAUAACUAUGCAACAGAUAAAGAGACUUAUGCUUACCUCAUUUUCGGUAUUAAAAGGUCCUUGACUCUUUAAAGACAUUCCUUCAUUUCUCAAAGCUGCAAUCAUCUACGGGUAAAUACACAAGGUUUGGUCAGGUUUAGAGUACUUGAUAUCAGCAAUAGAAGGAGCUGGAAACCAAGAGAUUGAAGACAAAAUUACCACUGUGAGGCCUUGUGCAAGACAGGUCUGACAUUUGAGAAACAAUACCCAUAGACUAAUCCGAUCUUCCCGAGCCAUGUCCCUAGAAUACUCCUUAUUCCUCUUUGCUUUUCUUUCCUCUGAUCCAGAUGAAGGUAAAUGCAUUAUAAAAAGCUACAAAUACACACUAUGCAGUUAUGCCAAACCAAUUACUGUACAGAUGGUUCAUCUCCGAAACACUAGGACACAAAAUAAAAACAAAUGGAUAUAUGAAUGCUUACCAGUGUUCACAACGAUUAAGACCCUGAAACGUGCUCUUUCGGCAAGCUUCCAGAGUAUAAUAUACAUGUACCAGUAUACCAUGCAAUAUUCACUUGGCGAGUAGAGGUCUAGGUCAAAUCCCAGCAUGAGAAAGCGAAUUGCCACCCAAUUAAUUUGCUCUUCUAAUCCACCAUAUAUAUGGUUUAAAAUGAGUAGAGACUUAUCCUGAAAGGUACAUAAAUGCAAGUUAACACAAAAUUCAAUAUCUGCUUAUCAAUAGAGCCAAAAUUUUCCGAAAGAGAAAACAGAAGUUGUAGGAAUUUUGACUACUGGUUUGUUCAUGCUAACAAUGAAUAGACAGCCGUCAACUAGAUUCAGAUAGAGGUUUGAUUAAAUGGACCCAUAGUGAUGGUAGUAAACCUACCCCAUUUUUCGAACUGCGUGAUGUAUCUUGCUGCAUCAUUUGACCAACAGCAAUCCCCAUCUGCCAAAUACAGGAAAAUGUAUGAAUGAGAUCUUGACACAAAAACCCAAAUCAAUAUGCAAACAAUUUUAGGGUAAGCGAGCUUACAUAUAGUUAAGUAAAGAAUAAUACAGUUCCAACAAAGGCACAAAUGGUAUAACCUGCACAUGGAAUACGCUCCAGUCAUUUAAGAUUUUCCCAAGCUUACGCCUCUGCCAUGGGGUAUUAGCGCAUAGUAUUUUAAGUAGAUUAACCAUCAACUGCACCACAAAAUGAGAAUAGAGAUCAAACAGAGAUUUCUAAGAAAGGAGCCAGUUGAAUAAUUAUCUAACUUUUUCAGGAUCCAGAGGCUACCAAAACCACAAAACAUAGACAAGGCAUUCUCAUCAAAGUCCCCAUUAAAACAAAUAAUUUUUUGUUGUUUCAAUCUUCUUGAUGAUUGCAAAUUAGUUACAUCCACACAUGCUGAAAUUCUCUGAGAUUGGGGCUUAUACGCCAGACACCGAAUAUUGAACAAAACCAAUGAAAGAUUAUUCUUUUCAAGGUUUUACCAAGUUCCAAACUCUUUUCAAGGAAGAAUAAAGAGCUACCUCAUACACGUUUGUAGAAAAAAAUGUACCCAACGUAUUCUUUUAAUAUACUGUGUUUACCUGAUUAAGUUGAAGAAUGUACUCAUUCGUAUGGAGGCCAUGGUUCUUGGAGACAUCUAAUGCAAGAGAUCUGGCGCAAAUUGUCAAAAAGGUAUCACGGCCGUAAAGUUUCCCAUCUUGCACAAGGAGAAGCUGUAGAACAAGAUUAUUUAUUGAGUAUAAAAGGUAAAAGCAUUUUGCUAGCUUAAUACAUAAUUUAUUCACAAAUAUUGCUAAUAUCAUAACAAAAAUGGACAACCAUAUCAAUGCUUAACAGAAAUUUACAAUCAGAAUCAACCUCAACUACAAAUAUUGGAUCUAUAUUCUUAUAAGUCUUCAUAAGAAAGAAAAAUGAGAGUGUCAGCCACUACAUAUUCCAGUGUCAUCAUAAAUAAUAUCUAGAUAACAAUAAUAGUAAAGAGUCAACAAGAAGAAUAAGCAGAGCAUUCAACAGGCCUGUUGGCGAAAUGGGGCUUGAGGUGGUUCACGAGAGUUGGAUAUUCUCUAGUCCAUUGGUUCUAAGUUUAUGCAACUGUUCUUACAGAAAUAAAGGAGAUUUCUACUAUAGUCAUAUGGCUGAAUCACUCAACUCUAAGUGACAAUGAAUUGAAAAUGAGUGCUAAUGAACACAAAACUGCAAAGCAAGGAAGCGGGUAAAAGAAGAAGCCAUAUUAUCCACUAUACAAACACACCCUAGUGGAUGUAUGCGAACAUCAGUGCAACUACAGCCAAAAUAGUUACUCAAAACAAGAAAACAAAAUGAUAAAUGGGUAUCUGAAAGCACAGAGCUGCAUGAUAUUGAUGCGUUAAGUUAAAGUAACGCACCUGAAGAUGAGCCCUAGCAACCAAAUCAGGACGAGAUUUUUGAAACUGAAUCACAAACUCCAAGACGGCCUCUAAAUCUGGUUCCAAUGAAAAUGCACAGAUCUUAUCCAGAUUGUGAAGAAGUUUCACAUAAUAGUCAAUAGCCUGGAGAAUCAAAAAUUGAAAAAAGUUACUAAAAAGUUAUAUACACACAAACUAAAUUACGUAUACAGAGAAUUUAGAAGUCCCAACCUUUUUCCAAGAAAGAAGUUUAAUGGCACGUGGCGGCGUUGGAGCUGAUAAUCUUUUGUUUAAAGUAGGAUCAAAUCCAAUGGGGGACCGACCAGAAGCAGUUGUACUUUCUUCUAUCUCGUUUACGCCAUUCUCGAAAAUAUCUAAUCUUAGAAAUUCUGCUGAAUCCAGAACAGAAUCUAGCUCUGAUAUGCAAUAGCCUAUAUGUUUCCUUGCCAAUUCGAGGCCACGUCCUUGUGGUCGUCUCAUACAAUUAAGAGCAUGUAGAAAAUGCUGAAAGUUAUUGAGGAUAUGUUAAAACAACUAGCAGUGCAAAAGUAUAUAACAGCUACUAUUUUUUUUUUUAAAAUGGCUUACGAAACAAAAUAAUAAUAACAUCAUGAAUCACAUGUCUGGCGAGAAUUUUUAACCAAAAAUAAGGGUAAACAGGUAAUAAAAGCUGCCAUAUACUCAAAAUUUAGUCUCUGCUAAGCUUGUUCAUUCUUGUAAGUUGCAUAACAUGGAAAAUUUAACACAAUAAAACAUAUAUUAACUUUGUCUACCACUCCCCAUUGUGAGGUUAGGUUGAAGAAAAGCAACUCAUCAUACUCUUGUUACGUGUAGUUUAUCAAAGAAAGAAUAAAUAAAGCAUGAGACCUUACGGAACACUGGAUAAAAGACCAAAUGCAAAUUUUAAGUACUAAUUGUAGUUUUUCUUUUUCAAAGCAAGCAAUAAAAAAUUCUAUUCAUCGAUGGCCACCAGAAUACUAAUAAAAGGAACAGACUUGGGACUAUAUUAUACACUAGUUAACAUGACUUAAGUUGGGAAAACCUGUAAUUAACAACAUUUAUCAAAGAAAGAAUAAAUAAAGCAUGAGACCUUACGGAAACGUAUCCGGCAUAACAGAGAUUUGCAAAAACUCUCUUCCAGAUGGGGAUUACUUUGUAGAGGUUCCAAUUCUGCAUCUUUAACAAACAAAAGGAAAGAAAGUUAUUGUUCUCAGUUCGUGCUGCUGUGCACCAUUGUUACAAAUAAACAAUAGACCAUAUCACUCAAAGAGAUGGUAAAUUUUUAAAAAGAAAAAAUCAAUUGUAAUAAUCAGCGGACUUCACAUAUAAAUCAUUACUCAAUAGAAGACUCAAAGUUAUCGUAUAUAGGCCAGAGAGGCUAAUUUCAAGUUGGUAUAUGCUUAGAGAGCACUUGCAAAAUAUCUAAUUCCAAUGCAUUAUACUGUCUCCAAAUCACAAAUCACCAUUAAAUGUGUAAACAACAUAUCAUAAGAAAAGAAGCAACAGAAGACUCUUCGAUCCCCUCAUAUGAAUACGCUCUUCAUAUUUCAAUUCUGCAAGUGUGUGUAUGUAAAAUAAAAAAGGAAGAUAUGCAAAGCAAAAAAAGUACCUUCCAACAUUCUCCUUCUUGUGGCCUUACAAGCACGCAGCUGACGACAGAUAGUUUCUUCAACCGCAUUCAAGAGUAACAAGCCCUUGGCAUCUUCUUCUCCACUAAAAGGAAGACCAUAUGUCAUCGUAAAAAGAUCCUCUUCCUGUUAAUGAGCAGGUAUCAGGUGAAUCAUUCAGAGUAAACUAUCCAUGAAGCAGGGGCAUCUGUCUAGUUAAGAGAAACUUCUAUCCAAAAUAUCACAACAAAUCUUCUCAAGUAUUUUAUCUUCAUUUAGCUGCAUAAUGGUGGAAAUUUCUACAGAAAUAAGUUAUACGCUCUGCUAAUCAUCUCAAGAUUAAAUAACAACUGCUUAGGCUAGAUGAGAACGGAUGCCAAGACUUCAUUAGAAGAGUAAAGUCAAGUGAAUCCAGUUUUCGUCUCUGAUGUCAUAAGCUUAAGGUUAAUGACAACUAUGAAAUGUCAAAAUGGGUUAGCAACUGUUUUUCUUUACGCCAUAAAAGAAUGUUGGACAUAGCAAAAGAUUUUAGGAGCAAACAUUGAACACAAACUAAACCUUUAAUGAAAAGCCAAAAAACAUACAGAAACAUUUGCUUAGCCCCACAAGAAUAAAAGAGGACCAAAAAUUGUAAAAGUUAAUUACUUCAUUUGUACGCGCAUCUGAAACAACAGAAACAACUGCCCUGCAAGUUGCUCGGAUGACCCUACAAUAAGAAUGUAAUAGAGCCUGUGAAGAUGUCCUCUCAGGCCUCAGAACAUAGAUGCAUGAAAACACAGUUUGGGCCAAUGAAUGACCCAUGUGCCAUGUUGCCUGCAAAAGAGUAGAGACACAAAAUGUGGAUAAAUCAACUCCAAGGCUGACAUGUUAGCUACAUACAUAUCUCUUUAUCACAAUUAUACCUUGCAAACUCACACAGUAUUAUAUGAGCACAUGUAAAGAAGAGAUUACCUCACACGCCAGGAGAUGGUCCAUAAUGUCAAUGAUGGAUUGCACAUUAACAGUACUAUCCGAACUUAUAGGGACGGGCGCAAAACCACUUUCGAUGGCUUCAUCUAUAGAAUAAAACGUAGACACCAUACCAGAAUCCAUCUUUGGGUCCAUUAUCUAGUACAAAGCAAGGACACCACACCAUGUUUGUUAUACACACUUAUAGCAACCUCACAAUCUAAGUUUACAGCUAAGAACAGUCCAAACAUAUUUUGUUACAAAAUAGAAACCUCUAAAGCAGACAUGGCAGCAAAAAGAUUGAAAUUAUCUCCAUUUAUGAGUUCACCUUCUUGAAGAUCUGCAAACAGAACGACUCAUGAAACUAAAACAAGUGGGGAAUACAAGCAAAAUAGGCAAUUGCGAUCAGUACCAGAGCAGGCGGCGGAGAGGAGAGGUGAUACAUCGGCCCAGACGGAGUUAUUAUCACCGGAAGGGAUAGAAGAAGAGGUUUUAGAGUCGUGAUGAAUCGGAGAAGACGAAUCUUCAUCUUCCCUAACUGAUUGCAUCGUUUGUUGUUGUUGUUGCUCAGGAAACUUGAAAAUCGCUUUAAUCUCUCGUAAUUGGUUUUUUUUGCUACUUAUGGUAUAAGUUUCGUCUUGCUCGAUGGAACACUUUGCCUGGGCUGUUUAGGGUAAUUUUCGGGUCGGAUCCUCAGCGGAUACCCAACCCCCAAUCACCCGAGCCUCCUGCCGUCUUUUUUUUAUAAAUCAACCUUUAAAACCAACAAAAAGAUUUUCAAAAUUUUAAAUCUAUAGUUUUAUGGGUGAAUUUGCGGUAUAAUCAAAAUCUAAUGUAAAAUAAAAAAUAUAAAAUCUUAUUGAAAAAUAUUAAGAAAGUAAUUAGAUUAGUGAAAAGAUAAAAUUGUAUAGUGAAAGACACGCACAAUAAAAAAAAAGAAGAGGUUUUGAAUGUUUUGUAGAUUUUGUAAGAGUUUUUGGUUUUUGUUUUUUAAAAACUUAUUUUUAUACCAAUUAAGAUUUUAAAAUUUUGGUUUCCCUACAAUUUAGUAAAUUUAUUUUAUUGUAGUUUUCCAUUCAUGAUUUUAGUUUUUUAGUUUUCCUAAAAUUUAGGAAAUCUAGUUUUUAUUCAAUCAACGUUAUUUUUCUCAAAAACCAAAAACCGAUUUUUUGGGGUUUUUAAAACAAAAAUAUAAUAACAAAAAUCUAAAACUAAAAUCUAAAAUCUAUAAACUAAAAUCUAAACUCAAAAACUGAAUCAAAAAUCAGCAUCCAUUCAGAGCUAGAGUAUAUGAUGAUAUAUGUAAAAAAGUAGAGAGAAUAAUAAAGAGGAAUUGCAAAACUAACACAUUUUUACUAAAAUAUUAAGAAUAUAACAUUAUAUAUGUAUCAGUUAACUAACUAACCUAAAUGGUAGAUUAAAUGAUCAUAGGUGGUGGUUUGGAUCCGGCGACGGCGGUGGCUCCGGCGGCGGCGGUGGCUCCGGCGACGGCAGUGGCUCCGGCGACGGCGGUGGCUCCGGCGACGGCGGUGGCUCCAGGGACAGCGAUGGCUCCGGUGACAGUUCUGGUGGUGGCUCCGGCGAUAGCGGUGGCUUCGGCGAUAAUUCCGACAAUAACAGUGUCUCCAGCGAUAGUUCCGGCGGUGGUUCCAGGGACGGUGGAGGCUCCGGUGACAAUGGGAACACCGACGAUGGGGUGGUUGCUCUGGUGAUGUCAUUCGUUCUCGUAACGGGGGUAGCUCCGACGGCGACGGUGGUGUUGAUGACGGUGGCUGUGGCGGCGGUAGUGGGUGUAGUGAUGAUUGUUGUGGUGGUGGUUAAUGGUGAUUAUUGUGAUGGCGAAAUUAUAAUAUAAUAUAUUAUACAGUUAUUAUAGUGUAAAUUUUUUCUAAUAGGCUAGUUUCUUAAUUUGUAAUUUUUUUUAAGUUAUACAUGCAAAUUCCCAAAAUACUAAUGACAUGGCUAAAUUAAUAUCACCCCAAAUAAUUUUGCUUGUUGAUUUAGUCUUAUAAAUUUUGCAAUAAUUUUAUAAGAACAUAGAUUUUUUUGAGUAUAACAUGAUUUAAAUUUUUAAAAUCUAAUACAAAUUAUUUAAAUUAGGGAACAAUGUUUGUCUAAACCACACAAAUAAAAUAGUAUAGAACAAAACGUAGAUAAUUCAAAAGGCCGAGUUAAACCGCUCUAAUAAAAAAAAUACUAUCCCUAUGAGAUACAAUAUUGGCAAUCCAAGUAACUAAGGUAAACUAUAGCGGUGAGCCGGUGACGUUGACGAUGGUAAUAGUGGUGGUGGCAACGAUGAUGGUAGUGGUGGCAGUGGCACUAAAAAUGACAUUGAUGGUGGUAAUAUUAAUUGUUAGUGGUGACAUGAUGAUGGUAGCGGCAAUGACGGUAGUGGCGGUGGGAUGGUAGUGUAGUAAUAAUUGUUACUUGUUAGUAAUGGUAAUUAUAAACUAGUUUUUUAUUUUAUUUUAUUUUAAUAUAAAAAUAUAUAUAGAAGAUGAGAUUACUAGCUAGAGAGAAAGGGAGAAAGAAAAAUCCACAUGUAUUGAUAAAUAAAUAACCAGAGCAAAAUACUAAUAAUUUACAAACUCCCAAAUAUUGUGUUAUAAAUAGGUUUAGUGUUUUCAAUGGGUUGCAAAUAAAAGAGUCAAAUAGGUAGAAGAGACCUUUGGGGAAACUAUAAAAUUUAGCAUUCGUGGUAGAUGAAGAAGGGAGAAUCUAAUGAAAGAAUCAGCAUGAAAUGCAACAGAGGAGGGGAAAAAAGAAGGUGUAUGUAGUGUAGAGGGCAAAGUUAUCAUUAAUACAAAAAAUACAUAAUAUAUCAACCUUUUUUUUGUUUGAUGUUAGUUUUUUAAUUUAUAAUUUUUUGUUGGUUAUUUAUGCAAAUUUCCCUAGUUUUAUUUAAUCACCAUCUUAUUAUAUAAAGUACCAUUUUGAAAGUUACUAACUCACAUAAUGGUGUCACGUGUCAAGUCUAAUAAUCAGAUAUUUACAUAUGUCAUUAAAGAUUUACCUUUUUAUUCUCUUAUAAAAAUAAAAAAACCUAAAAAAGUAAACAAAUUUACAUAUACUAAUUUUUAUAUCUAUAUAUAUGUAUAUAAUAUUUUGAUUAACCAAUAGGAAAAUUAACAAAAAAAAAUUUUGGUAGGGUGAGGGGGACCAACCCUUCAUUUAUUAUAGAAAAAAAAAUAGAAAAUUACAUACGAACAUUAACAAAUUUGCUUUUACAUGUGAUAUUGGUCAAUUAAAUAAAUCUAGCAUGCAUUAACUAAUUAAAAAGACCAUCGAAAUAUUGAUUUUUCCCGCCUAAAAUAUUACAAAAAUAAAUUUCCCGCAAAAAACAUUUCAAAAAAAAAGUCCGCCCAAAGUUUUUUUCCAAAAAUAUUUUUCCUACAAAAACCUUUUUGGCGGGAAAAAGAUUUACAAUGGGUUUUAAAAGAUUUUUAAAGGCUUUACAAGAGUUUUAAAUGAUUUACAAGUGUUUUUGAAAGAUUUUUAUAUGGUUAACAAGGGUUUUAAAGGAUUUUAAAAAAGAUUUAAAACCCUUUAAAAACUUUUGUAAAUCUUUUUAAAAUAUUUUGUAAGGGUUCAAAAGAUUUUUAAAAUGGUUCAAAAUUAUGAAAGGGUUUACAAGGGUUUUUGAAAAGAUUUUUAAAUGGUUUACAAGGGUUUUAAAGGAUUUACAAGGUGUUUUAAAAGAUUUUUAAAAGAUUUACAAGGGUUUUAAAAUCCGUUAAAAACACUUGUAAAUCUUUUUAAACCCUUUUAUAAGGGUUCAUAAGAGUUUUAAAAUGGUUCAGAAAGAGUUACAAAUGUUUUAAAAUAAUUACAAAUUAUUUUAAAUCUUUAACAAAAUGAUUUAAAGACUUUAUAAGAGGUUUAAAAAGAUUUUAAAAAGAUUUACAAAGGUUUUAAAAAUCCUUGUAAAUUGUUUGAAAACCAUUGUAAAAGGUUUUAAAAUGAUUUAAAAAAGGGUUUAAAAGGGGUUUAAAAGUAUUAACAUAUGUAUUUAAAGACUUUAUAAAGAUUUUAAUAGGUUUAAAAAUGAUUCACAAGAGUUUUUUUAACAACUUUACAGAGCUUUUUAAAAACUUUACAAGGUUUUCUUAAGAGUUUUUAAAGGGUUCUUAAAAAUUUUACAAGGAUUUUUAAAUUCUUUUUUUUGUAGGGAAACAAUUUUGAGGAGAAUAUUUUUUUUGGCAAGGAAAAAGUUUACAAGGAUUUUUGACGAGAAUAUCUUUUUGGCGGGGAAAAUAAAUUUUGGUGCAAAACAUUUUUGGCGGAAAAAUUUCAGUUUCUAAUUAUAUGUUCUUACUAGAUUUUAACCCGCGGUGUACCGCGGGACUAUUUAUUUUAUUAAAAAUAACUAAAAAUAUAUUAUUUUAUAAAUUAUCUGUAUGUAACAUAUUGUUUGUAUUUUAUAAAUAUAUAAUCCUAAUUUCUAUAUAUUGUACAAUCCCUUGAUUUUAUCAUGGAGUACACCGUAAGUCGAUUUUUAAAAUUUAAAAUUUAAAAUUAUAUAUGAUUUUUGUUAAGAUUGUUUCUUUUGUCAUAUAUUUUAAAUUAUAUCAUUGUAUUUUAAUUGUUAGUUAUAGGAUUUCACCCGUUGUAUAACGUGUCGUAUUACUAUAAACUCAAACCCGUCUUACCAUCUAAUUCCGUUCAAUGAAAUUAAACAUAUUUAAUGGAUUUCAUCCUAGGUAUAUUGUCUCAUAUUACUAUCGACCCAAACCCGUCCUACCAACUAACCCCGUUCAAUAAAAUGAAAUAUUAUUUUAUUAUUUUUGUUUUAAUAAUACUUUAAUUUGAAAUAUAUAUAAUUCAAAUCAAUUUCAAACUUUUUAUUUUAAAUGGUUAUUUAAUUGUUAUAAUUUAUAAAGUUCAUAUAUUUUAAUAUUCUAAACUCGUCAUACCAUCUAAUCCCGUUCGGUGAAAUUAAACAUUAUUUUUUAAUUUUUUUGCUUAAAUAAUAUUUUUAUUAACAGAUUUAUAAUUCAAAUAAAUUUAAAAGGUGUCGUUCAAAUAGUUAUUUGAUUUUUUAUAGAUUUCACAUCUAAAAUAUUUCUCUAUAUGUAACAUAUAGUUUUGUAUUUUAGAAAUAUUAUAAACGUUUUUUCCUUAAAUAUUAUAAACGUUUUAAAAACUUUAAAUAAUUACAAUAUUUACCUUUUAAUAAAGUAUAAUAUUAAUAAUCAUUUAAAUAAUUAUGUGUAGCUAAUUUUAAGGGAUUUGAUUUAAAGCUUGUUGUUUGGAUUAAAUUUGAAUGAAUAAUGUGAUUGAUAUAUUAAAUCAAGAAUUAAAAAUCAAAUCAAAUAAUUAAGGAAAAAAGAAUUAAUGCCAAUGGCAUGCCAUUGUAAAUAAGUGUCAAGUAGAGGAUUUAUUUGCUAAAAUAUAAUUUUAGUUUUUUAAAAAUUAACUGAAAAUAUAUUAUAUUAAUUUGUAUUUUUAAAUAUAGAUAUCAAUCUCUGUAUUAUUUAGUAUAUGAUUACUAUUAUUUAGGUUUCAAUUUUUGAAGUAUAGAUACGAAAAUACAUAUUUUUUUAAGUAACGAUGUAUGGUGAAUUUUAAAUUUUUAAUAUUUUAUCCAUAAUAUACCGUGGGUCGAUUUUUUAUAGCUAAAUUUUUAAAUUUCAAGUUAUAAUCGUUUUGUUAAUAUUGUAUGAUUUUUUGUGUUUAAGGUUGUAUAAUUGUAUUUUAAUUGUAAAUUUUAAGAUUUCAUCAAUGAUAUACCUUUCUUUAUUAAUAUCGAUCAAAACCCGUCAUCCAAUAUAAACCCGUCUAUAUUAUCUCGUUAGCUAAAUAUUAGUAUUAUAAAAUCCAAGAAAAUAAAUUAUUAUUGUUAGAAAUACAAUAAUUUUAGGAUCUCACCCGUGUUAUACUGUUUUUGAAUGAUUUUAAAUUUCUACUACUAAUAUAGAUUUUAAAUUUGUCAUAUAAAGUAUAUGAUUUUAACUUUUUGUAUUUUUUUAUUUAAAUAAAGCAACGGCUUAAAUGAUGAUAGAUAUAGUUCUUUUUUUGUAUGUGUAUAUGAUUUUUAUGUGAAUAUUUUCAUUAUUAUAAAUUAGUAUUUUUAUUGUUAUGCAAAAUGUUAAUAUAAAUAUUUUCUAUAAAUCGGAUUUAUGCAUAUUUUAUGGAGUAAAAUUCACAGAAUUUUGUUUUUGAAGAUAUAUGGAAAGAUUGUGUAGAGAUUUUUAGAAAUAAAUUAGGCAAGAUAUCGUUUGGUUAAUAUCUUUUAAAAUUUUGUAAAACUAAAUAAUAAAUGCUAGUGACAGCCGUUGUAAAUAAGUCUGAACUCCAGGAUUUAUUUCACAAAAUGGUUGCAAAAAUGUAUAUGUAGAUUAGAUGAGGAUAAUUUGUUCAUUUUGUUCAAAAAAAAAAGGGAGAUUUGCAAAACUACCAUUUUUUACUACCCUUUUGCAACAAUACCCUUUUAUAUUGUUCAUUUUUAAAAAUAUCCCUUCUCUUGAACAGAAUGACCAAAUUACCCUCAUCUAAUAAGAACAUGUAAUUGGAAACUGAAAAUUUCCCGCCAAUAUUUAUUUUUCCCGCCAAAAAAAAAUUUCCGCCAAACUUUAUUUCCCGCCAAAAUUUUUUCUCGUAAAAUUUUUUUCCCAGCCAAAAUAAUGCUUUUAAAAAUCCUUAUAAAUUUUCUUAAAACUCUUUUAAAAAACCUUGUAAAGUUUUUUAAAAGCUUUGGUAGUUGCUAAAAACCCUUGUAAAUCAUUUUAAAACCUCUUAAAAUCUUUAUAAAGUCUUUAAAAACAUAGGUAAAUACUUUAAAACACCUUUUUAAACCUUUGUAAAUCAUUUCAAAAUUUCCACAAUAGUUUUACAAGAUUUACAAUCAUUUUUUAGCAUAAGUAAGUGGCAUUGAAUGAUUUACAAGGGAUUUUAAAAGCUUAUAAAAGGGUAAAACAUGAUUUACAAUCGUUUUUAAAGCAUAAGUAAGUGGCAUAUAAUGAUUUACAAGGAUUUUUAAAAAGGGUUAGCAUGGUUUACAAUAUUUUUUUAAGCAUAAGUAAGUGGCAUUGGAAUUAUUUACAAGGGAUUUUAAAAGCUUAUAAAAGGGUAAAACAUGAUUUACAAUCGUUUUUAAAGCAUAACUAAGUGGCAUAGAAUGAUUUACAAGGAAUUUUAAAAGUGUUUGUAUGGUUUACAAUCGUUUUAAAGCAUAAGUAAAUGGCAUUGAUUGAUUUACAAGAGAUUUUAAAAGGGGUUAACAUGAUUUACAAUCGUUUUAAAGCAUAAAUAAGUGUCAAAGAAUGAUUUACAAGGGAUUUUAAAAAAGGUUUGCAUGGUUUACAAUCGUUUUUAAAGGAUAAGUAAGUGUUAUAGAAUGAUUUACAAGGAUUUUAAAAGCUUAUAAAAGGGUAAAACAUAAUUUACAAGAGUUUUUUUAAAGAGUUUUAAAAGGAUUUACAAGGAUUUUAAACCUUUGUAAAUCCUUUUAAAACUCUUAUAAAGUCUUUACAAGUAUUUUUUAACUCUUAGAAAAAGAAUUGUAAGUAUUUAAAACAUUUACAACUCUUUUAAACCAUUUUAAAACUCUUGUGAAUCUUUACAAAAGGUUUUAAAAAGACUAGAUGAAUUCCUACGCUAUGCGAGGGUUUGUUUUGAAAAUUGUUUAGAUAAAAAUAUGUUAAUUAUUUUUGUUGCUAAUUUCUGUUUAUUUUUUGUUUGUUAUUUUAUAAUUAGUAAAAUUAGACUCAUCUUAUGUACUUGCAUUUUUUAUUGUUAGGUUCAUUUUUGACUCUAAAAUAUCAAUUUCUAUAUGUUUUCAUGUAUAAUCUGAUUAUUUUUAUAACCAAGAUUCUAAAAUUUGUUUAUUAUCAUGAAUAUACACAACAAGAAUAAAAGAUGUUUUUAUUUCAAGAGUUUUCAUAUGAAAAAAAAGAAGCAAAAAUUAAAGAGUUAUUUUAGUAACACUUUUUAGAUUUAUGCUAUUGCAUAUAGCCAUAUAAGACAAAUGGAUUUGUUUUGAAUUUCGUGGUAUGUCUAACGUCUCAAAAAUCUAUUACUUGAAAAUGUUUAAUGUCAAUGUUACGAACUUACCAUAAGAUACAAAAAUAAAAAGACAGAAUUUCAUAUGAUAAGAUAUGAACCAUAACGUAAUAAUAAUAAAAAAAUCAAGGUAAAAUAAUUAAACUAAUAUUAGGUAGCAAACAACUAAAGUACAACACAAAUAACUAUUUAGUCAUUAUAGAGUGAUGACCAUUGACCAUUAAGUUUUUUUAAAAAUAUGAAAUAAUAAAGUAAAAUAAAAGUAGUAAUUGAUUUAUUUAAAUAAAUAAUUUUAUAAAUUUUUUAUUUUGAAUAAAAUUAUUUAAGAAAUGAACUAAUGGAGGAUUUAACACAAUAUGAGACUUUUGAUUUUCUCUCAAUUAAUUUUGCUGAUUUUUAAUUUAAUCAAUGUUAAUUGACACAUGUCAUUUUCUUGUGUGAUGAUGUGUCACCCAUAUGGAGAAAGUUGGCCAACUUUCAUAUAUAUGAUUUACAAGAGUUUUUAAACGGUUUCUUAUAAUUUCUUUUAAAAUCUUUUAAAAACUCUUGUACAUCUUUUAAAACCCUUUAAAAAUCCCUUGUAAAUCUUUUAAAACACUUUUAAAUCCUUUAAAAAUCUUUAAAAAACUCUUGUAAGUCUUUUAAAGCCCUUUAAAAUCCCUUGUAAAUCUUUUAAAACCCUUUUAAAAUCCCUUGUAAAUCUUUUAAACCCUUUUAAAAUCUUUUGUAAAUCUUUUAAAACCCUUUUAAAAUCCCUUGUAAAUAUAUUUCCCGCCAAAAAACAAUUGUUUACGGGAAAAAUGUUUUCGAAAUUUUUUUUUGGCGGGAAAAUUUUGGCGGGAAAUUUUAUUUUGGAAUAUUUUAGGCAAAAAAUAUUAAUAUUUCAUUUUGUUAACCUAAAUCAAUUUACAAAUAGGAAUAAAAGGGUCAUUAAAAAUUUAAAUAGGGUAUAAAUGAAAAUGGUAAAUAGAAAAGGGUAGAAUUGAAAAGGGGUAGUGUGAAAAGGGCAUUAGAAAGAAUUUUUCAUUUUUAAUUAUACUUUCUUCUAAUUUUUAGUGAUCAUUUUAACCCUAUUUGAAAAUGUUUUAGGUUAACAAAAUGAAAUAUUGAUUUUUUCCACCAAAACGGCUUUUUGCCUAAAGAAACUUUCACGCCAAAAAAUUUCCCGCCAAAUUGGUUUUUUCAAAAACAAUUUUCCCCAUAUAACAAAAAAAAUGGCGGAAAAUAUAUUUUUAAAACCUUUGUAAUUCUUUUUAAAACUCUUGUAAAACUUUUUGAAACCUUUUGUAAGGGUUCACAAGAGUUUUAAAAUAUUUCAAAUUUUUUUACAAAUGUUUUAAAAUAUUAAAACAAAACUUUUUAAGAGUUGAAAAAUGAUUUAAUAAUAAGAAUUUUAAAAGGCCUUACAAAAGUUUCUAAAAUCCUUGUAAAUCGGUUUAAAACUAUUUGAAAACUUUUGUAAAUAAUUUUAAAACCUUUUACAAUGGUUUUAAAAGAAUUAUAAGUAUCUUUAAAUAUUUAUUAAGGUUUUGAAGUAUUUACAUGUGUAUUUAAAGACUUUAUAAAGAUUUUAAAAGAUUUCAAAAUGAUUUACAAGUGUUUUUAAGAACCGUACAAAGCUUUUAAAAAACUUUACAAGGAAUUUUAAGAGUUUUUAAAGGAUGUACAAGAGUUUUCAAAAAAUAUUUUGCGGGAAAAAAACAAUUUGGUGGGAAAACUAAAUUUUGGAGCCAAAACUUUAUUUGGCGAGUAAACUAAAUUUUGGCGGACAAAUUUCAGUUUCUUAUUAAAUAUUCUAAUUAAAUGGAGGGUAAUUUGGUUAUUUUGUUCAUGAAAAAGGAUAUUUUAAAAAAUAGACAAUGGUAAAGGGUAUUUUUGCAAAAGAGCAUUGGAAAAGAGUAUUUUUACAAAUCUUCCAAAUACAUUUGGGUAUAUUUGGUACCUACCUAUUUAUUAAAUUUUAUUCAUUAAAGCUUUGAUGGAUUUUGAAACCUCUUACAUUGGAUAGUUCCAUAUUUAACAAUAUAGACUAGGUCAGUACUCGUGUUUCGCAAGGGGUUCAUGAUUUAAUUAGUUUAUAAAUUUUGUUUCUGUAUAUAUUACUAAUAUAGUUUUAUUUUUAUUCAAAAUAGAUUUUUAGAUUAUCAAUUCCCAAAACACUAUCCUGUCGUUGUAGUAUUUUAGGUUGUCAAUCCAAUCUGCUGGUGUGAUGCAAACAGAUAAGAUAUUAUUAGAAUGCACUAAGUCAAACCAAGCAGAGAGUUUUUGGUUUCUAACAGUCCUCAUAUGAAAUAAAAGAACUGAAAUAAAACUGAAAUGCAAAAUGGCAGUAACAUGCAAAUGAAUGACAAAGCAGAUAAGAUAACAGGCAAUCAAAUGGAUAAGAGAUUCCUAAGGAUGGAGUAAUCGAAUAGCGUGGUCUCCUUAAUCUAUUUAGACGGUUGACAAAACUUCACAGAAGAUAUCUCUAGAAAACAAGUUCAAUGAAAGAUUAAUUCACUACCGUGUAAGAAAUCCUAAAGUGACGUUAUCUCCAUUAGCGAUCUCUAACUAAGCAGACAAUAUCGAAUCAACUUGUUAAAGCCAAUACCCGUUCUAAACGGCCAAUACCUUGGGAUAGAGACGAAUAUCACUGGAAUUAAUAGAUCCGACAUUCCAUCGAACGCCUUCUGAGCGCGGGAAUGUCUGGAUUCAUAUUCCAGUUGAUCAUAAAGGAACAAGCAAUAAGCGCAACUAAUCUAGAAGGGAUUCCAAUAUUCUAAACUCAACCAUCUAGACGACUAAGGUUACCACAACUACUCUAUCCCAUCCUCAGAAAUACAAUUCACUACUCAGACAUAAGCAAAGACAAUAUCAUAGAAACGAAUGAAAACAUGAUAAGGGAUCGAGAAAUGACAAAAGAUAAACGAAAUGAUACUAAGACUGAAAUAUUUAAUACUUGAAAGUGAAUACAAAAUCGCAGGAGAGCGUUGCGGCUACAAAAGUUUUAGAAAAAAGGAUCAUGCCCUAGGGAAAACCCCUAGAGGCUAUUUAUAAAAGCAAGACAAGUUAAGUAAGGAAAGUCUUUGAUAGUAGUCUUCACAUCGGGAGAUUGCGAUUGGGCAUAUGAUGGGCUGAAAUGGGACUCACUGCGAUGGAGUAUGUCAUGGAUCAAACUUGGCUUCAGGGACUCCACCUUGCAAUCGUGUGGUCUGGAGUGAAGACGAGAUAAAAUUGUCCAGCGACCCUGCGAUCGAGUAGAUGUCAUGAGGUGGUGAUCGAGUGGUUUCUUCAGCUUCUCUUCUCUUCCGUAUGCUCAGUGUUGGUGUCGGAUCCCGCACCAAAAGUCCGAAGUCGUCUCAGCCUGUAAUAAGCCCAAUCGCUGACUUAAUAAUGAUUUUACAAAUAUUUUUAAAAGGGGUUUAAAACGUUAAUAAUGAUUUUACAAGGAUUUUUAAAAGGAUUAGUACCUGAGCAGUAGGAAAAGAAUGAGAAACAAAAGGAUUUGAAGUCGUCUCAACCUAUAAUUAACACAAUCACUGACUUACUAAAUCUAUAUAUAAACCAUUUUUAAAAUUAUAACACAAGAAAGUUAUUGAAAAACCUACUCCACUGUCACAGAAAUUUGCUCUACUCUGUGAGAAUUUGUGCAUAAAAGUUGCAAGUUGUCUAUCGUUUCUAAUAUAAAGAGGAUGAGAUUGUAUUGUUCUAGAAGUGGAGACUUGCUUAUAACUAAGCUUCAAAGAAUUGGUUGAACUAUCUAUUCGAAAAUUCUCUACAAGAAUAUCAACCAAUGCGUGAUAGGUAAUGUGCUCAUCAAUGAGCACUAAAGAAGCUCCCAUUUCAAUGUCUAAUUCAAAUUCCCAAGUCAUAUUGUUUGUCAACUUCCACAAACCACAAACAGAAUACUAUUCUAUCAUUAUAACCUGAUAAGAUAAAUAACAACAAAAUCAAUACCCACAAACAUUGUCACUACAGAGAGAAGCAUGGUUUACAAUUAUUUUUAAAGCAUAAGUAAGUGGCAUAUAAUGAUUUACAAGGAAUUUUAAAAGCUUUGAAAAUGGGUUAACAUGAUUUACAAUCAUUUUUAAAGCAUAAGUAAGUGGCAUAGAAUGAUUUACAAGGAAUUUUAAAAGCUUUGAAAAGGGGUUAACAUGGUUUACAAUCGUUUUUAAAGCAUAAGUAAGUGGCAUAUAAUGAUUUACAAGGAAUUUUAAAAGCUUUGAAAAGUGGUUAACAUGGUUUACAAUCGUUUUAAAGCAUAAGUAAAUGGCAUAGACCUAUCACGAAAGCGUAAGUAAAGGGGUAAACACUAAAUCAAAACCAAAAUUUAUCACGGAACAAUAUAACGAAUUCAAAUCUAUCACAAAACAGUAUAACGAAUUCAAAAGGAAUUAACGAAUUCACAUAAUCAACCCCAAAAUCGAAAGCAAAAUAGUAGAAUUUACAAGGAUUUUAAAAACAAUUCAAUCAUUAAAUCUCAAACAAAAUUCAAAUUCGAAGCAUCAACAAAUGUCAAAUUGUCGAUUGAAUCAAUAUCACGAAUCACAUAAGCAACAACAAAAUCGAAAACGAGACAUUUAGGCUAAAAUUACAAAUUCGAAAUCGAUUCCAUGAGAGAAAAACAAACAUGGGGAAAACAAGAGAUUGAAAUGAAGACUGAGACGGUGAAAUCGAUAACACGAAUCCGACAAUCUCCGACGGCCACGACGCAAUGCGACAGCGACAAUUAAAACAAUCUCCGACGGCGAUGACAGACGAAGAAUACAUAUGACAUCAAUUGAAAUUAGAUCGAUUAGUCUCUGUAGUUCACUAAGGGUAUUUUGGGGAUAAAAUAAUUAGGUGGGGUAGAAAUAAAAAUGGCUAAAAAAUGGGUAAAGUUUAAAAGGAGCAUCAUGAAAAGGGCAUUAGAAAGAAUUUUACAUAAUUAUAUAAUAAAAUAUGUUUUCCUUAUAAAAAUGGUUUCUAUCACUAACUCUUUAACCAUCAACAACCUACUAUUUUAUUAAAUGACAUUGUUUUUUCCUUAGAUUCUUAUUGGAUAUCUCUUCUAAGUCGUUAAUAUUCAUUUUCUUUAUUUUUGAAUUAGUAUUUAUUUUGCAUUUUUCUCUAAACUACAAUAUGUUGUUGUAUGUUUGUCUUUGUUUGAGGUUAGUAUAUUUUUUACUCAUCGCUAUUUGCCAAUUUUCAUAAUUAUUUUGAAUCAAUGGUGGAGUAUUUAUUAAGAUAUUAGUUUGUUUAGUGACAAAGUAUGAGAUAAUAUAUUUUUUUACAAAUGUGAGUACUUACAAUUUGUUUUCUUAUAGGAUUAACAACUGAUUGUAUAAUUUUUUUAAUCCUUUUUCUAUUUUUCAUAUUUUUCUUGUUUAGUUAGUAACUUAUAAUUAAAACAUUUAGAUUAAUUUUCUAAAUUCUAUAGUUUUAGAAAAUAAACAUAUAAUUUUAUUAUAUAUAAGUAUAGUUUCCUUAUAAUAAUCUUUUUAUAUUCUUCAAACUGUUUAAAUUGUAUAAUUUUGUUGUAAUUAUUUUUUUAUAAUUUUUUAAUUGUUAAAUACAAAACUUUUGUUUGCGACAUAACAAAAAUCUCCUAUGAAAAUAUAGGUAUUAAAAUUGCAUUGAUAGAUUUGAAAUUUCGUGUUUUUUUUAGUUGAAAUUUAUCCUCUUAAUUAUAUGAUUUUAAUUUUUACUUAUUUUGAAAAUCUGUACUUUUCAUUUUUUAUGCAUAUAUCAAAAUAGAGAAGCAUUUCCAUAUGUACAUGUGUGAAAUCUCAUUAAUAAAUGGACAUAACUUUAUACUUUUAUUUUUUAUAAUAUUUUUUAUUUUUUAUAAUGCAUAGUUUCAUUAUAAUUAUCCUCUAUCUUUUAUAAUAUUGUUCUAAAAAAUUUAUUUUUUAUACAUGUCAAAAUCUAAGAUCUCUAAAAUUGACCCGUGUUAUAAUCUCCUGAGUUACUAUCAAAACCGUACUUUGUAUAAUAAGAUCCCUUUAGGUAGACAAAUAUUUGUACUUUUUUAUGUUAGUAUCCAACAUUAUAUUUUGUUGCCUAAACUGAACAUUAUUAAAUUGUUAAUUAUAAGAUUUCACCUAUAGUAUACCUUCCCGUAUUAAUAUCGAUCCAAACUCGUCCCACCAUAUAACUAUACAACACUGGUUAUUUAGAAUUUCGAUUGCCCUUUAAGGAUAACAAAAGAAAGAAACAACAAAUGUUGUUUUCAAAUAGAUAUUCCAAAACCUUGUCUAGAUUAAUUAAAAUGGUAUGAAUUUUUUAUUUAUUUAAUUACUUUUACAUAUUAAUUAUUCUACACAAUUUAUGAAAUACUAAUUGUUUUUUCUUUAGUAUGUGCAGGUUGACCCAUUAACGAUCCGAUCCAACGCUUCUUCACCUGAAAAUUUGCUUGGAUUCUCUUCGUUUAAAAACAAUACCAAAUAAACAAACUUUUGCCUGAUGAAAUCAAUGACCGAUCUUGGAUGCAAGUUUAAAGAGUCUUUCCUCAUCGUUCGUUCAGUUUCUUAAUCGCUUCUUUGUAUUUUCAAAUUCGAUUGAUAUUCUGUAAAUUCCCUCAUUUUGGUCAAUUGCUUUAAUGUAACUUCAAAUUUGAGUUUUUUCAUUCUCUUCAAACUCUGUUUUUAAUGGAUUUGAUAUGGUGAAGGAGAAUACACUAAACAUGGAUGGGAAGAAGAAGGAGAAGCCAGCAGCUCAGUUUCACUCAAUCGCAUAGCCGGAGGAAUCACCCACUCUAUAUCGUUCACGUGGCAAUCUUUGGUUGGUCCCGGACUUUCGGUGCGGGAUUCGACACCAACAAUUAGCCCUCCAAGUCUUUCGAAGUGUUAUCCUAAUUCGGAAGACUUUAAUGCUUUAAUGUACAAAGAUUGCGCUAGAUGAUUGUAUGAUUUCCCACCAAAAUCUUGUUACUCCCUUGAUUCCGGCACUGUCCAUAUUUACCCGUAUGACAUCUGUCACCAUUAUGACCACAUCUUAAUUAUUUACCAUUAAAGCGGGAAAAUCCUUCACCUUCCCCCACGACUCCCAAGGCGGUUCCAUCAUCAUCACCAGCUUGCGUGAGGUAAAUUUAUUUUAUAUCUUUCUUUUUUUUUACGCUUUUCUCUCUUAGAACAAAGAUCCUCUCUGUUUUACUCUACCAAUUUUUUCUUCGAACACCGGAUUUUUUUAUUCUCUACGAUGAAUCCUGAUACUGAAAGACCCGAAUCCCCAUCUUUCAACGAGUGUGGUUAUAGCAAUGAUAUAUGCACUCGCCCGAACGACAUCGCCGGUCCACACUAUAUGUCUACUUGUACCCUUCAAUGCCUUGAGCGACUGAAGGAGCUUUGCCGGAUUCCGCCGGAGAUUAUGACGGAAUCAAAGAUGCAUGGUCCCAUGGAGUCCCCGGAGGACCAUCGCUCCGGUUAUUUUUGCGUUUACGAGAUCUAUUUCAAGGGCUGCGGGUUGACCUUUCCUUUUCCUGAAGCCUUGGUCUGUUACUUGGAAACUCUUGGAAUUGCCCUGUCCCAACUAACCCCCAACCUUCUCUGAACUAUCUUGGGGAACAUAACUGUUACGGCGGAAGCCGGAUACGUUAUCGAGGUUCCUGAACUAAACAAGCUUCUUAGCGUGAGAAGUUCAUCGAAGAAAACUGGGUACUUUUCGGCGUACCCGAAUGCCAACAGGAACCUCAUCUCGCACCUCCCGAACAAGGAUGAGAACUGGCAUCAACCUUGGUUUUUGAUUAAGAAAACCCUUGCUUCAAUCGGAAAUCUUUCCGAUGUGCUUCCAUCGAAGUGGUCUACGAAACCCGGUAGAAAUUAGGUCGCAUAUACCUUCUCUGUUUACCUUUACUGUUUAUUGACCAAAUCUGUUGUUUCACUUCGCAGCUUUCAUCGCUCGGACUCUCUCGACCGAGGAAUUCAUCGAACUCUUCAAAAUCGUCUUCGAAGGGGAAACCCUCUGGAAUUCCUUCACCCGUGACCGGUUUAUAGAGGCCAAUCACAAACUCAGAAUGAGCCCUCCCGGACAGCUUCAUCAACUUCCGCCACCUCCUUCCCUAUCUCAAGGAACAUUAGCCCGUGAUCUUGCUUCUCGGUGGAAGGUGAUAUCAAAGCCGAUGGCUGAGGCUUGCGAGGUAAACAAGACGUUCCUUGCUAGUUGACAAUGGUAGCGCCGAAGGGGCCAGAUCGGCCGAUGCGUUUAGGUCAACACUCCGUCCUGAACGCCAUGGUGGUCGUUCUCCUCGGAGAAAAAGAUAUCCCCGUCGUGACUCUCCUCGCUCUUCUCCCCGAGGUGGACUGAGCAGCGAACCCAUUGGUAAUUUAGUUUGCAAAAAGAGAGACAGACCGGCUCGUGGCAGCUCUUCUCCCCGAAGGGACAAAUCAAAGGCCCGGACUUUUGACAGAUAGCGUCCCGGAAUUUGAGAACGCUUCUUACUCCAUGCUUACUAUUCAUCGCGGGGUAGUUUCAUUUCCCUUUUUCUAAUCUUGCUAUUCCUUUACGUACUAACUUACUUUCUCGGGCUUAUACUCAGUGCCAGGCAAACAGCAAACUUAACGACAUGGUUGAGCACUAUGAAGGAUUGCUGCUUAGUAGGGAGCAAGACAUCGACACUUGGAAGGGCAAGUUUUCUUCCCUCGAGGCUGACCUCCGUCCCUCUCCGGUUCCAAGCAAAAAUUGGAGGACCAAGUCGACCAUCUCUCUUCUGAACUCAUGGAAUCAAACGGCGAGUUGCAAGAUCAGUACCGUAGACAUGACAAACUCCAAGAUGAACUCUCAGUUGCCCAAGAUAGGCUUUCUGAAUCUGAAUCGGUUGCUUACACCUUGAACAACCAGUUCACCGAACUUAAGGCAAAGUACAAGGCAAUCGCCAAGCUUCGAGAUGCUGAGUUAGCUAAGUCGGCGUUAAAAGCCAGAAAAGAAGUGAAAGGUCGCAGGAUAGAGCUGAUUCAGGGGGCCAUUCUUUUCAUUCAAACCGAAAAGGCAAGAUCAGAGCUGGAAUCUAAUAUUAAGGAGCACGAAAGCAACCUACUCUUGUUGGACCAGGUCCACGAGGAGGAUUUCAGCGAGGAGUAAGAGAGGUCCGAUUUGACAGCCGUUUUAUCCGAGAAACAUAGCCGCCUUCUUGCUCUCCCCGCUUCAUCCUUCAACCCUCAGCACUUCAAAGAGUUCUUCAUCGAAUCACCCCCUUUGGGUGAAUCGGGUUUAGAUUGGGCUGGUAAACUUUCAUACUUAAAGUUUUAUCACUUACAGUUUUUUUAUAUAUACUCUUUACUGAUUUGAACUGUUCUCCUCAGGUUCAAGUGAAUCGGAUGAUACUGCUGCACCUAAGGUGCCUGCCAUACUGGUAGAGAUUGUUGAACCUGACCCUAUUUUGCCCAAAGCUCCUCCGUUGUGAACAGCGAGACGGAGAUCAUCCCGGAUGAUGAGUGUGAUGCUAGGCACGAGCCGGGAACCUCUUUCGAGACACUCCCUGGCGUUGAACCGAAUGAAACCGAGACGACUGAUGUCGAGCCCGAGAUAGCUACGGAUUAAUAGUGGUUGCGUCCACUUGAAAUUGGAGGUUGUCCCAAAUAUUUAAGAACUUGAAAUUAAUUAUUGGAUAAGUAUUUACCUAAGGAGGCUUUUAAACUUUUUUUAAACUAUGAUCCCAAGAGGGUUUGACUAAAGUAGAAUGCGGGUUUGCAAAGUCCGCCUUUAAAUAUUUUGACCAUGUGGUUAAGUUUCGAGAUUCUAAGGUUGAUCAGACCUUUCUAAUAGAACGCGAGAAAUGAGCUCAUCUUAACGCGAAUUUCCCAUCUCGGGUUGAGUUAAUUCAUUACAUUUAUUGGGCUUGGGCCUUAACUGUUAUACCUUGUAUUUAAUGGGCUCUUUGUCUUAAAUGCGACGGUUGCCAUUUCCCAUCCUAUUUCUCGAGAAACCGGAAAAAACCUCACGCCUUUGAGGCAAUAAUUGCCUUUUAUCGAUUUCCAAAUAUGGCUUAAACCAUUCGGACACGCCAUCAUUAUUGAAUUUUUGGUUUCAAGACAAGAUCUAAACCUCUAUAAAUAAAAGUUUAUCUAUCACCGAAUUUCCCCCAAGUAUGAUUUUAGAAAUUUACUUGAUAAACACCACGAGAAUGGAAAACGAAGGAGCCUCCACUGUCUGUCCUCUCGACCCUGGCAGUCCAUUGUUUCUGUCCGGCGAUGAUUUCGAACCUGCCGGCGUUCUCUUUCCACACACCGCUUUCCACUUUCCUCCGAAAGAUAAAAAGGAGGCGUACGACUAUAUGGACAAGGUCGGGAUUCAUUCUUCUUCCCUCUAUUACGAUUCUUCAUCUUUUUUUUAUAUAUUUACCGGUUUCCAUGUUAGGUUGUCGACAAACAUCGCCGCUUGUGCGAUGAGAGGCAACGUCUGGGCCUCAAAAGGCAAACGCUCGAGGCCCGAAUCGCUCGAGUGGAGAGGAAGGUGAGGGAAAUGGAGAGUGAUCCCUUUCAAUGGGAGUUGAGGAACUUCGACUGCGUUGCCAAGAUCCCGACUAUGCUUUGGAUGUACCUCCGCGCUCGUGGUCAAGUUCUCGGUCUCGUGAAUGCUCAUGUUGAGGUGGUCCCAUCCGAUAGCGAGGAGGACGACGAAGAAGAGGACAUCGACCCCUCGAAUUGUGUCAAGAAUGAACCCAAGGUAGACGACAAAAAUGAAGCGUCCACUUCGAAUGCUGAAUCGGCGAUGAAGGAGCAUGUUCCUAAACCUCUUCCAUAAAUGUCCCCGAACUUGCUACUUACUUUUUUUUAUUUUUUUUUUAACUCGUUAUGGGCUCCGGCUCAUUUUUAAUUUAUGGAAACUUUUUUAUUUCCUUGAUCUCAAAAUACUCGUUUUGGAGAUAUGUUUUAAAUGCAGGGCCAACUGGAAGGCGUAGGUCUUUCCGCGAAUCACUCCGGCCUCAAAUAGAAUUGCAAUCUUCAAAGGUGCCAAGUCCCUAUAAAUUGCGACUCCAAGUUUUCUUUAUUUUUUAUUACAACUUUCUUUUCCUUUUGCAGCUAUGGAGUUUAACCUUCGAUGUUCGGAGUCCAUGCCAGACUUUUCUAGGGUCGGAAUGAUGGAUGAGGACAUCCCAAACGUGCGGGGAAGAGGGCCUUCUCAACCUCGUGGCUUCUUAAGGUCCCAAAUCCGAGCUCCAUGUGCAUUGAUGAAGGGACUUUCUGACAUAGACCAAGAAAUCACGAUGGCAUUCAUCAAGGCUCUUGCGGUUCAGCACCAGAAGCGUUCGUUGGAAAGGAGGAAAAUCCGAAAAAAGAUUAACCGAAUAUUACGUAGGGUUAUUGCGAUAUCGAGGGAACUUCACACCCUCAACUCUCACCCCGGGGACUGGAUUGAGCUUGGAAUUUCCGAAUUUGAUCGCAUACCGGAUUGUAUGAUGCCGAUUCUUGAACUCGCUGGUCAAGGAGUCCAACUGUUCUACAAGUCGAGAAGAGUUUCUUAAUUUGAAGUGCUAGCGUGACGAAACUUCGUCUUCUUUGCUUACUGCUUGAAUACUUUCGUUUUGUUUCCUGUAUUUGCAUGUUCGCGUAGUCGAACUUUUCUUGCUUUGUUCGUUCGCACAGUCUGAACUCGUUCCCAAGCUGCGUACGUACCUAUUUCAAGAUCAAGCGACACCGUAGUUCAUGUACAUAACAAAAAACGCGUGUUUACUUAAACAUAAAACUUCUUUAAAAUGACCACAUUCCAAAGACCCUAGACAGGCAUGUCUUCUUAAUCUUUUAACCUAUAAACACCAUUCUGAUCCACUUCGGUAAUAAUAUAAGGUCCUUCCCAAUUAAUAUCGAGCUUGCUUGCUCAUUCUUCCUUUUUAUUGUUGAAAACGCGCUUUAGAACGUAAUCACGUACAAAGAAAGGUCUGAUUUUGAUUUUGGAAUUGUAAUAUCGAGCUGCUGCCUGCUGGUAAUUCUGAAUCCGGAUCAAAGCUUGGUCUCGCCUUUCGUUGAUAGUAUCUAACGAAUCAUCGAGCAUUGCUGAGUUUUCUUCUUCGGUUAGGGGAGCCUCUGUUCAGCAAAGUCCAUACACGUUGAGCUCGGCCGGGACCACUGUUUCCAUCCCAUAAACUAAAAAAAACGGAUUUUCCCCAGUAGACCGCCUAGGAGUUGUGCGGUAAGCCCAUAAAACCUGUUGAAGCUCGUCGUACCAACCUCCCUUCAAAUGAUUCAGGCACUUUUUUAGAUUGGUUAGG